GCCGAUGUUGCACCCGAAACAAAAUCCACUGCCCUGAGCUUGUGUUUGUGUCUUCUCCUUCUCGCUGCACUGCUUCCCCAAUCUUCUUCCUGGUGAUCAAGGUAUCAAAAUCGAAACAGGUACUUUCGCAGAAGUAUAAUCUUUUCACGUACCUAUAAUCGUUUUGUUUUCACAGUUCCUUCAAUUGCAUUUUCAUUUACAAAAGACUUGUUAACUUAUGCUUCAUAUGCAAAAAUGAAUUGGGUGGUGGCUACGACCCUAUCAUUGUUGUUUUUAACUUUUCAUUAUAUGGUUUGGAAAUAGCAGGUGUGUUGUGAAAGAUGACUUGCAUUGUUAGGGCUGCAUUGAGAUCCAAUUGCAGUUCAAGUGUUUGUGCAUUUGUUCAGAGAAGUUUUGGCCUCCCUGUGAGGUGUUUCUCCACUGAAGCAGAACAGCCACCUCUGAAUUCAACUACCCCUCUUCCAUUCUUGGACGUUGAUCAUUCUGGUACCACCCUAUUUAUGCAUUUAUCCUCCCAUUUCUAUCGCUCUUAGACUUGCUUUAGCUUUUACGAAAAAACUGUUCUACCGCAGCUCGAGGUUAUAAAUUCCUUGACAUUACAGGAAAAUGCGGACAAAAGUGGCUGAUGCAGCCACAAAAAUGUCAGAGACUCCAAAAACCUUGACAUUGUGGCCAAAAUUGUGGUCACAGUUGUCGACUAAUAUCUAAAACCUUGUUGCUGCUGUUACUUUUAGGACUCGCUCGGUGGCUAGCAUAUGAUAUAAUCGGAUAAUUAAACUAUAAAACAAUAGCGGUUCUAAUGAGUUGUUUGGUUUUGGGGAUAAUUAUUUGUACCAUAGCAAGUAUCACUAGCACUACAUGGUCACUACUACCAUUAGUGUCACUAAAUCUUUCAUCAUCAAUGUCACCCUUGUUGUCAUAACAGACAUUACUCUCACCAUUAUUGCUAUCAGUCACUAUCAUCGAUGUUGUUAGGAAUUCAAGGUGACUUCAAGUCCCACAUUGAAUCAAAAUGAGUAAGAUGAUGACUAGUAUAUAAAUAGAAGAACCCAUAAACCUAUUGCCUUAAUGUUUUGUGUCAGAAGUGGUGUCUUUGUCUCAUAUAUGACCUUAUUCACGACUCAUUGGUGAUGAAUCUUCCAACGUCUUCCCUCAGAAAAACCUCACAGUUGUCACCAUCAUUUCUUUAUUAUACUUUCAUCAUUGUUACUAUUGUGAUUAUCACUUGCAUCUUUCUCAUCGUGCUUACCAUUUGCUACCAUCUCAUUAUUGAUGUUGUAUUGUAACUAUUUGUAGGAGUAGAAAGGGUGAUAAUUUACUUUAAAUUAAGAGACUUGUGCAAUAUUUGUAACAAUAAACAAAAGAUUUAAUAUAUUAAGUAUGUUAAUAUAUUAAUUUAGUUCUUUUGUUUUAUAAAAUUAUCAAAUUAGAGAUUGUUUGUUAGAAAGAAAAUUUGUAAGGAAAGAAAAAAGUGGGCUUAUCAUUCAUUUCUAAGUAAUAGUGAUUUAUUCAAAUGAGGAACGCCAUGUUAGAUUAUCUUGUAACCUUCUAAUUAUUGUAUAUAUAGUUCUUUAAAGUUUAUUUGUGUCUUACAUGAGGCCCAUGGUAAGCUUUACAAGGGGGAGAGGAGAUAAGAGUGAGAAAGGAGGAGUGCAUCCCUUUCUCACUAAUUGUUAAUUUCAAAUAGGUUAAUGUAUAUUUUUCAAUUAAUUGGGAUGCUAGGAAAAAUCUUCCUUCUCCAUGUCCUCAUCAUCAUUAUUGUCAUUGUUUUAAGUUUUUGCUCAAUCCUCAUGUCUAUUCAUGUGUUCUAACAUUCAAAAGCCAAAUAGUUUUCAGAUUUGACAAUGUGAAAAUAGUAAAUGCAUGAGAAUAUAGAAAUUUGACAUACAGUAUAUAUCAUUGAUGCUAGUGACUAUAUUUUUGUAUACGUUUGGAUUUUGAAAAUAAGAUGUUAGGUUUCUAACCAAUUCACUGCUAGCCAUGUUAUUUAAAUAAUACCUUUCAACACUUUACAGUUCUUUUAUUUUAAAUAAUUUCCAUCCUAGGUAAUGACUGUUUUCCUUUCUCUUUCUUUCUUUAGGAGUGACAUAUGGUAGGCUGCUUGGUAUCCGUAAACAUGCACUGAAAACAGAUAUCAUCAACUUCCUUGAAGGUUGUAAUUUGACUCUGGAGGAUGUUAAAUUUGAUUACAACCGUAGCCUUAUACCAGUUUCAACGUAAUGUAUUCCAUCUUUUGUCUUGCUUUUGGGGUAUUGUGAAAGUUAUUUUUGUCAUAUAAUCAGUGCAUUUUCAUGCCUAUGACAGGGAAUUGCAUUUUCUUUUCUUUUUCUUUUACUCUAAAUGAUGUUUCCGAAAACUAAAGAGAAAGUUCAAUUUAAUUAUAUACUUGUUUGUAACAUGUCGUGCUCUCAGAAUUUGGACUUUCAAGCCCUAAAAUCCUAUAAAACAACCAACUUGUCAGGAGAGGAUUGUCCAAUAUAUAUAUAUAUAUAUAUAUAUAUAUAUAUAUAUAUAUAUAUAUAUAUAUUAUAUAGUUCUAGUUAAGUCAUAUUUUUAGUCACUGAAACUAAACACCAUAAAAAACACCACUUUGAACUGUAAUUAAGGUGCCGUUCAAAAUAUGGAGUGCUAGAUUUUGUCAUACUCGUCUUGUUAUAUGAACCCAUGUAUUUCAUUAAAGACAAGUAGAAAUAAUCCCAAUUGCUGAGGUAAAAUCAGAAUACAGGAAAAGUGAAUGGAUAAAGAGUAGCCUUUUUGAGGGUGUGCCAGCCUUCCUUUACAAUCCUUAUCCAAUUAUUGCCUACCUAUUUCUUCCUUCUUCCCUUUUAUUCUAACCAAUUUACUUAUGUUUUUCUUCCUCAAUUGCUACAAUUAGCAUUUCAUUAUUACCUCGGUUCAUCCUCAUGACUCUCCGUAAUCAUCUAGCAUAGCUAACAUCCUGAAGUGGAUUAUCAUUGUGUUUUCUAAAUGGGCCUCAUCUUAGAUUCAAUACUUGAAAUUAUCAUUUAAAGGUUUUGGGUAUAAUCAGGUUAUUGCAAUUCCCUUCUCGUGAUUCCUAUGACAAUGCUAUAAGGGUGAUUGUAAGGAAGGGUCGCCUCUACAAAUUGGAUAGGGUAUGCUGCUCUGCUCACAUGUCUUUUUUCUAAAAUCAUUUUCUUUUUUAUAUUUGUUUAUAAUUGGAAACUGUUUGAUAUUUUUUCCUUUUUCUAAUAUCAGGCUGAUCGAUCCCAAUGGGACAUAGUAAAGCCAUAUGAUGGAAAAACUGUCAGUACAGAUUCUUACCUAUCUUUGCUUAUCUUGUUUUUUGAAUACUAAUUAUUUUUUGAUGUUUGUAAUAUAUUUUAACUGUCCAAAUGCUGAAAUUGUUAGAUGUUGUGUUUUGAAAAUUUUGAUUGAGUAAAAUAGAGAGCAUGAUGUAAGACAGUUUUUUCCCAUAACCAUAAGGUUCUCUUAUUGUUCGAUUUUUAAGUUGUGAGUAAAUCACUCCAAAUUGGAGGUAAAUUCUUAAAAGUUUUAAUCUUUUAUGUAAGACUACGUCUUUAUUCUUUGUUAAAUUUAGAACAUUUGUUCAUUUUGUUGACUUCUAUAAUUAAGGAAUGUUAAUUGAGCACAUUUUCAAGAAUUCCUUGAAAUUAAAGUACCAAGGAUAAUGGAAAAGGAUCCGAGAAAUGUAAUUCUGUUGUAUGAGGAAAAACAUGAGAAUAAAAAUUAUUCAUGAAUGUCUAAAAAUCUGAAGCUUGAACCGUCUCAAACAAAAAAUUUCUUCCCUUAAGAUUUUGAAAGUUUAGGGUGUUGUUAUAGUCAUGAUCCCAUCCAGGUUGGCAUCCUAUGUUAUAUCAAUUAUUUGCAGCUUACCAAAAAGGUAUAAAAAAAAAGGAAAGAAAUACAAAAUAGUAGGGGGACUAUACCAAAACCUACUCAAGAACCAAAUCUAUAAUAAGGUUGAGAACAACUAUUUCUUGAUAAAUCAUAUCUAAGAAAAUCCAAAAUGUCAUUAUACCAGUGAUUAUAUCUUUGAAUUGCACCGAAGCAUGCAAGUUUAUCAGCAAUCUGGUUUAGUUUGGAAAUUACAUUGGGCUCUAUGGCCUGAAGCAAUCACUUUGAGCUUGGUUGGGUAAAUUAAUUUUGAUUUUGUUGAUUUUUGGACUGGAAUGGAGUGAGGCAAAUCAUUUAGUGUUUACUGUCAUACUCAUCAUGGGAAGUGUGUUUAUCUUAUGCUCUUUGUUGAUGCUAUUGUUAUUACAUGGAUAGAUAUCACUAGAAUUGCUCAAUUAAAACAACAUUUAUUGUGCAUCUUUAAUACCAAAGAUUUGGACUAACUAAAAUAUUUUUUAUUAUUGAAGUGACACAGUCAAGAGGUGUUAUCGUUUCACAAAGAAAAUAUGCUCUUGGUAUUUUGCAGGAUACAAACUUAGCAAAUUGUAGGCCCAUUGAUAGUCCUAUGGACUCAAACUCUAAUGUUAAUGAGAAACCACUAUGAAAUUUUCUCAAACCUAGAGAGAUAUAGGAUGUUGGUGGAAAAACUCAUUUAUAUCACAAUGAUAAGAGCAGAUCUUUCUUAUCCAUUGUGAGUUAUGAGUCAAUUUAUGCAUAACCCUCACAUAACAUUGAUUACUAGAAUAUUGUGAUUCACAUUCUCAUAUAUGCAUAAGGGAUCCCACGAUAGGGAUUGUUGUAUGAGAACAAGGCAGUGUUAUCAAAUUUUGGCCAUGGCGAUGCUAUGGCGGAAACCGGUAAUAGUUUCCCAACCUGCAGCCACAAUAAGGUACUGGCGAAGCAAAUUUUCUGUGGUGGUCUUGUGGCUGCUUAGCGUGCGGUGGUGGAAAAAGCAGGCUGGAGAUAGAAGAAGACAACUAAUUCCAUCAAUUUACCAAUUAACAACUAAUUCCUAAUUUGGUUCCUUCUAUCCUGCACCCAUUAUAUCCUAUCAAAUACACUGAUUUUCCUUUAUCUUUUUUGUUUAAGUAAAUGAAUACGAAGAUUCUAAAUAUAUUUUUCUUUUAAUUACUAUAAAGAUAUUAAAAAUAUUUUUAUACUAAUAAUCCUUUAUUUACCACAAGUUACGACAUCAAAUUUAUUCAGUUUAUUUAUGCAUGACUUAUUGAAUGCAUUAUGAUCGCUUGAAUUCUCAGUAUGGAAGAAGUACCAAGAUUGUGGUGCGAAUUCCAUCAAGAUUUGGUAUUUAGUGUUGUACUUCCAUUUACCACUGUUGUGUGAUAUGCUGGCUGAGACUGAACUUAUAUUUAGAAUAACUUUUUAAACUGAAGGAUACUAGUUGAAGUGUUAUAAUUUUUGUUUCAUGCAAACAUUACUAUGGAAAUAGCACAUUUACCUAACAGUGUCUAAUUUCUUUUUUUUAAGAUUUUGAUUCAAGGAAUGCCUCGAACUGCUAAUUUUGAAGAUGUAGUGCGAACCCUGUCUGGUUGUGAAUAUGAUUCCAACUCCAUCAACUUGUUUUUGAGGUAAACAUCAAAUACACUUCAAAUUUUAUAUUUUGUUUUAGAGUUAAACCUGUUUUUAGUCAUUAUAAAUAGGGCAGUUUUUAGUUUGGUUAAGAAUGUGUGUCUAAACUUCUUCAUACGUAUAGGAGAAGAUAAAAUUAAUAUAAGUGAGAAAACUUCUACUAAUUACUACUUUACGCUUUAGUUAAAAAUCUUAUUUUUGAGAAACUAACGAGAGAACCCUAAAUGCAUAAAUCAAUUUUAGUUUAUGGAGACGUUUAGUGCAUUUCUUAUUUUCUUCUCUACAAUUGCUUUUAGUCACCUUAAUGGAAAUGUAUCAUGUGUGAUCCCCAUUUUCAAAGGAGACCCAAAAGAGAAAAACUUCUGUGGUGGACAAGGAUCACACUUGACACAUUUUUCGUAAGCUAAUGGAUCAGAUGCGGUCGUUUUAGUUUUAGGGUCUCAAGGUGAACAGUUCUGCAUUGAUAAGGACUAAAUUAGUGUUUAAACCCUCUCAUGUAUUCUUAGAAAGAAAUGGUUGGAAUACACUAUUAACAUUCUGAAAACACACUCAUUUAUUGAAAUUUACUGAAAAUCACAAAUGUUGGCAGGUCUCACUUUAUCUAAGGAUCUCUCUCAAUUUUGUACUUUAAUAAAUUCUAUCUUUGUUCCCAACCCUCCUCUCCUCCGGAACCACAUUCUCGGGAACAUUAUUCCCGAAAAAUCCUAGUAGUUUAUAAAAGAAAUAGAGUUUAUUUAAUUGAACAAAAAGGGAUGAAGUGAGGAGGUAGGUAAUUGUUGUAGAAAGUAACUUCUAUUUUAAUGGGAAUACAAAAUACUUAGGUAAUGGAAUAAGGAGUAACACAAAAGUGUAAUUUAUAUUCCUUUGCAAGAACCAUUCCUGAGAAUGUGUUUACAAAACUGUCUCAAACAUGAGAAUAUCAUAUUCUCAAGUUCACUUUCUCGAUGCCUUGAAACAAACGGCUGCUUGGAUUAUAUUCUCAAAAUGGUAAUUAUUUUCUUACUUUCAGGCGAGGAGAAGAGUGGGCUGCAGAACCUAUUAAAUUGGCCACAGUGCGUUUCCAUUCAAGGACUCAAGCAAUGAAUGCAUUCAUCGCAAAAAAUGGAACCUUUUGCCAAAACAGUCGCAUUUCGGUACAAGUUUUGCAGUAAUUUAUGCCCCUUACUGGUGCUAGUAUUAUAUUACUACUACUUUAACAGAGGCUAGAGUAUUUAACUAGUUUUACUGGUGCUAGUAUUAUAUUACUAUUACUUUAACAGAGCCUAGAGUAUUUAACUAGUUUUUUUCAUUUCAUGGUCAUUUGGGAUUUUCAUAAUGUCUCUGGUUUAAGGUGAUGCAAGGAAAUGUUAAAAGUGUGGUAAAAUGUCUACCUUGCGUAGUAACACUUGACAUUAGUUGAUUGGUUAGUGAAGAGGUUGGUUCUUCUUUAUAUUGAAAUGUGUUUUUAUGUACCCAAUUAUUCAACGUUUUCCAAUGACAUGAAAUCGUGGUGUUGAUUCUAUGAGAAUUUGACUUUUCAAAUUCUAUAUAUCAGUGUGUCUUGGUAUUUGCAUGCUGAUAUAAAACUAGCAACUUUCCAGUUAUUAAUUAUACGUAAGUUUGCGUAGGCUAGUUCUUUGAAAAAAUAUGUGUGGAUAUUUUGUUAGAAAGUUAUGUAAAUAUGUUAGCAAACACAUAAAUGUGCAGCAGAAAUUAUUGCCAGUCAUGAAUUUGGUUAAGAAUGUGAUGAAGUUUCCAGAGAGGAAGAGUUAAAUUCAAAAAGGAAUAUUGAAGAAACAACUUAUUUCCAGAAAGAAAUAUUAGACACCCGUAAAAGAAUUAUUUUCACAUUUAUAACCUACUAAGAAUAAUAUAUUAACUUGAGCUAAAAUUAUGGCAAGUAUUGUGGGAUGACUCCUCUAAGGUGAAAAAGACACACUUAGGUUAAAGUACAGUAACGAUGGUAAAUUGCAAAUGAUUUUGAAGUUGCCAAUUUUUUGCUUCUAACUGCUGAUAAAUUUGGUCUCUAUUAUAAACGGUUGACUUUUGACUUUCUUUGAUCAGUUUUGUCUCAAUUUUAGUUUAGUUAGUUAAAGUUAGAAUUGAUUGACUCUUUAUCUGCACGUUACUUUCAUCUUAAAUUGAAGAGUUUAAGUUUUGAAAUUAUUUGAUUUAUCAAAAAAACUCCACAAAAAUACCAAUACUAAGUCAAAACUUCAAAAUAACGUAAUAUUUGCUAGAAAAUUUCAAGAGCUGUUUUUAUCAUAUAUUUAAACAAUUAAUUUUAAUUUGAUCAUUUUAUCUUUAAAUAACAUGAUUUUAGAAAACUUAUCAUGCUUACAUCAUGUGCAUAAUUGAUAAUCUCAUCAUGCAGUCAUGCAGUUGAAAAAGCAGGUCUAAUUGUAGUUACAUGUACAGUGAUAAAUGACCAAAUCUUAUUCUCAUUCAUUUGGUUCUAUUGAUGGACAUUUCAUUUCCUUAAAAGAGUUUAACAAUAUUUAUCCAUAGUUUUAUUCAUACUUUAGAUUUUACUCUUUCAUUACAUAAUUUGGUUUCACUACAUUCUAAAUAAUGACGUCCUAACAUUGUGCUAAAUCAUAGGACUUUUUGAGAAAUUUAUUGCAUGUAAUGUUAAUAAUCAAACCAUUAGAGCAAAAGUUCAACAUCUUGAUAUUUUAAUUGAGCACAUAAAUAUAAUGUUUAAUAUAUUUGUUGGUUUCUAGUCAGUUUUAUUUAAAAUAGUCUUCGAUUUUUGAUAUAAUGUCUCCGUGAAUUAUGAGUGAAUGAAUGAAAUGUAACUUUUUCACGUAUGUAACAACUUAAACCAAGGUUGAUGUGGAUAUGUGGAAUUUUAAAGUGGUUUCUAUGAUGAGGGCAUUUGACUUUGUUGUUGAAGUGGAGGUGCAGAAGUUAGAUCACAUAGGUAGAAAAUGAAAGUCUUAUUAAAUGCACUUGUGUUAAACGUACUAAAAGUUACAAACAUUGUUGUUCCAAAAGUAUAUAUUAAAAAAAUAUCUCACUAAAUAGGAAAAGUCUUACAUAGACUAAAAACGAAGUUUUCAUCCAACAAUGAAACACUUAUGAAUUGUUAGGUAUCUCUAAUAUAAUGCUUAAACAAUCAAAUACUGCUUAGAAGUGAAAUUAUGAAAUGCUUAUAGUUGCUCUAAACACAUAUUAAAUGACAAAACUGAUAAGAUAAGAAAAGGAACAUAUCUACUUACAUCCAUAUCUACUCAUAUUUAGAUACAUCCAUAUCUAUUCUACUAUAUAGAGAUUAUCUAUGUGAAAUAUCUACAUUCAAAUUAGAAUUAGAAGUAGACAUUAGAAACAAAUAAAACAUUCACAUAAUGUUGUCUCUAUCAAAAGUUUUUACAACCUACUUAUAUGUUCUGACAAUUUAGUUAACUUUAGGAGAGAUAUAAACUUUUAAGAAUUACAUAAAUUUGAAUUAAAUAUAGAAAGUUUAUUUGUGCAUAUAUAUAUAUAUAUAUAUAUAUAUAUAUAUAUAUAUAUAUAUAUAUAUAUAUAUAUUGAAUAAAUGUUUGUUGUUUGAAAUCUUAGACUUGUAAUCAUUACUAAAAAAUGUCCACUUGCUUCGAAUUUCCCAACAGAUUAUGUUAUUAUCCUAAUCGCACUCUUCGUUUAUUCUAGUUAUGCAGCUUAGUUUGCAGAUACAAUAACAAAGCACUUGAAAACAAGAAAUUGAAUAUGAAAAAACAAACCCUGCUUCAAAGUAGUACAUAAUAAUGCUAUAGCUUGAAAACCUAUAUAGGGUUACUAGGCUUGAGUGGGUGGAAGGUCUUUGUCUAGGGCUUCUGCGGAGAAAUCUCCAGGCUGUGGAACUUGCUCAUGAGGCAUUCCUUUUGGUUUGCUUCCUUCUUUCUCAUUCAUCUCUUCGUUCCUUCUCACAACUCUUUCUGUUUCUGUUUCUGUUUCUGGGUCAUCAUCAUCAACUACACCUUUCACCUCUUUACCACCGCAUGCCAAUGGCUUUGCCGGCUUCUCCGUCUUCUUCUUCAUUUUCAUCGAUGUUGCAGAAACACCCAAAAGAGAAAACUGUUUUAUUACUCUCUUAUCACUCGGCUGUUGCUUACGUCAACUCAACCGAUUAAGGCUUUGCAUACACGUGGCUACCACCAUGAACUCAGUUACGAACGUCCUUACACCUGGAUAUAUAAUGCUAAAAUACAUGUUAAUUUCUUGUCCUGCGGAUUUAUCCAAUUUAUAUUAUCUAAAAGAAUUCAUAUUUAAUUAAUUAUAUUUUAUGCUCUCUAAUAAAAAGUUAAUGAUAUUCAUACAAAGUCAUAAUAUACUUAAAUUAAUUAAUAAUAUAAUCUUUUGGAUAAAAAUUGACUAUAGAUUAGUUUAUAAAAUUGAAAUAACAUCUUUAUCAGUCGAAGUUUGGUUCAUUAUUGAGAUCGAAUUAGUCUAUUAUUUAAAAACAGGUUGGAGAAUUGUGGGUUGGCUUGUAUUUUUAUUUUUUAUUUUUUAAUUUUAAAUUCAAAAUUUAAACGACAACAAUUAAGAAAAAUUAAAUUCAAGAAAAAUCAGUUUGAUAGUUUGACAACAAUUGCAUUGGGACCUUCUCCACGUGAAUGGUUAUUAAUUUCCAUUUUCCUUUUCAGACAAAGAUCUCUCUACGAGAAUGGUUGAAUUUAUUUUUUAAUACAAAAAGAAUUGGUAUAGUGUAUGGAAUGGCCGGUCAGCUAUGAAUAGAAUGGCCAAUGACUAAUGUGAUUAUGGCAAUCAUUCGGUUACUUUGAAGAUUAUUUAAGGAUUACAAAUUUAAAAAAAGGAAAAAUGAUAUUUUAACACCAAUUUUUUGACACCAUUUUGACACUGUACACGUGUCAAAAUAUGGUUGGACAAUUUCAAAUUAAAAAAAAAACUUUGGUUUUUUUCUUCUAAAUAUAUUCUUACCUUAACUUUUUUUAAUUUGAAAUCAUCCAACCACAUUUUGACACGUGUACAGUAUUAAAAUGGUGUCAAAAUUUGAUAUUAAAAUAUCAUUUUCCUUUUUAAAACUCUUAUUUCGUAUUUGGUCAUGCUGUAUUAAUUAUAAAUUUAUUUUAAAACUUAUAAAUAUUAGUAAAAAAUAGAUAAUUAUAUUUAUUAUAAAUUUAAGAUUUUACAGAGUGAUAGUCAAAAUAUAGUAUUUUUUGACAGGUAUCCGUCAGCACAAUUUGAGUUGGAAUAUAUUUUAAUUAUGAUCUCGACCUAAUAGUAAUUGAAUUUGUGAAUGGUUGAAUUUGUUUUUUUUUUCAAAAAUAAUUUUUCAAGAAAAAAGAAAGAAAAUUUAAAAUUUCAAAAUUUUUUAAAAAUUUCAAAAGUUUCCUUGCAUCAGAGCCCUUUUCACAUGAAUAGAAACUAUUUUCAUAUGAUUUUUGGAUAAGACUCUCCUUAGGAAUGAAAAACAUAUUUAUUGAAUAAAAACAAAAUCAAAGGUGUAAACCUUUAAAAUAAAUCUAAGAAAACAUUGUAUUCUGACAUAAUCAAAAGUCGUUCAAUAAAUUUGAAAACUCCCUAACACUUUGAUAAAUUCGUUUUAUUCAUCAACUAACAUAAAUUAUAUGAUUAUCGUAAAAAUACAAACAAACAAAAAUAAACUAACAUAAUAAACCUCGUAACAACUAUAUAUCAUAACACAAUUAUUAAGUAAAUCCUAUACUCCUUCCACUUCAACCACAUUCAAAUCAAAUUAUACAAAUAAUUAUUUCUAAUCCAUACUUUCUAACAUCCUUAAGGAAUGCCACUUGUAUAAAAUUUUCUGGACACUAAUUGUAUUAAACUUUCUAUUUAUAUAUUCAAAAUCUUCAUUUAAUUAAAACGCAGAAAGCAAACCACACCUUAAACGACAGUUCAUAAAAGAAUGAAACUCAAAAUGUAACUUUUACAUAAAAACAAGUCUGAAAUUUAAAAUUUAAUAUAAAUCCACCACUAUUCCUUUUUUAUUUUAUUUUUUACUUUUUUUUUUACUAAUAUUGCUAUAUUAGUCAUUCACUUUAUUUAAUUAGUUUCUGCCAAGGAAUUUGUUCCUCUUUUUUCAUUUAAACCAUAAAGUAUGUUUUUAUUUUUUUUUAGUUUUAGUUUUUAAAUAUAAGUUUAUAUUGUAUUUAUAGGUCAAUGAUAAUCCUUCCCUUUUAUAUUUUAUUUCCUAUCUCUCCUACCAAAAUAAUUCAGUGACACUCUCCAUUGAACCUUAAUCUCCAUUGAAAUGUAGCUCUCUUAUACCUAAAUCACUUACCCACACCCUCGAUUGAACCCUCCAAGAAGAAGAUUGAAUCUUUUCCUUUUGGCUUGAAGUUUCAUUCACUGCAAAAUUCUUGUUUUUCGCUCUCACUCACCACAGAACAGACCAUUCACUUUGUUAUCACACAAAUAUCGCCACUCGCCACUCGCCGCGGCAGCGGAGACGACGGUGUUGCUGCGGUCCGUCCCUGUCCUAUCUUCGCCUCUCAUCAUUUCCCUUCCCCUUCUCUCCUCAAAGAAAUUCAAACCCUCAGCCACUCCAACCCUUCUCUUAAAACCCUCCUUCGCACGUAGUUUAAGCCCCUCCGAAGAAGACAAGAAGUUGGUUCAACGGUCGAGAUUGCACCGUCUCUAUUGAACCUUCCUUUCUGGGUUUCAAGGUACUCUUUUCAACAUUUUUUCUUUGUCUUAGGCAAUUGUUCGUAUUCUGUUGUUAUCUGAAACCAAAAUGUUAGUCAAAGGUUUUAAAAUAAUAUAGUAGUAAUUUGUGGAACGUGACAAAUGAAAUGCGAAAUGUAAGAUGUAUUAUUCAUGUAUUAAAUGUUGCAGUUUCUAGGUUAGAGAAUUUUGGAUUUUUCUACUUGUGGACAAUGCAUUACUCAAUCUGUAAAUUGCCUGCUUUCAUUUGUUUUUCAUGUUUUUUUAAUAAAAUGAGUGCCUGUUUGGUUAAAUAGCUUAAUUAGAACAUUAUUGAAGGAGUGUUUAUCAUUUAAACAUGUGUGUAUAAAUCCCAUCUUAAUAGAAAUAACAGAGUUCUAAUUAAAGAAAUAAUACUAUGUGGUAAUGUUCUGGAGUGGUAUGAACGAAUUAUGGAGGAAAUAAUUUCUAUUACAAUGUUCAGGUUUAUACUUUCAAAUAUAGUUUACUGACAAUUUGAAGCUCUUUUCCAAUCUUUGCAUUGUUGUCCGUUGGUGGGCUGUUUGACAUUCUCUAGUUGCUAACCAUUUGCAUCGUCUUUUCCCUUCUGAAGAAGACCUCACAAUUUUUGUUCUUCAGGAUGAUAGGGUGGUUUAUGUAGUUGAGGGUGCUGCUGGAGUACAUAAGGCACUAGAGUUAACUGUUUCACAUUUCCAUGUAGAUUUUAUUCCUUCUAACUUUUAGAACAUGUUUCUAUACACCAAUCAUGACAUUAUAUUCAUUCAUUGGUCAUUCUCAAUCACUCUAGAUUAGUUUCAUGUUAGAUUUUCAUCUUUCUCAUACAUAAUAUCAUGCAUUCUGUUACAGUAGUUUUAUAUACUCUCUACACUAUUUUUUUGUCUCAUGCAUCAUAUCCAUCCCAUUCUUUAGACUAAUAGUUUUAUAUACUCUCUACAUUAUUUUAUUUUAUUUUAUUUUUUUUUACUUUAACUUGUUUGAAUAGCUACUUGACAAGUUCCAAAUUUAGUUUAUGCACGAGUUAAAAAUAAGAAGUUAGAGGGAAUAUGAUAAAGGUUCUGCAAAGUAACAUGCAUAAAUUAAUUUUAGUUUAUGAUAAAGGUUCUUCUUAUAUUUCUCUUUUAAAAAGAUCUUAUAAACAAGCUCAUCCAAAGAGGCUCCUGGUAUUCAAUUAGUCACCAUUUGUUUUCUUGUAAUUUAUGUUGCAAAUUAAUUGGAUUUUCCCAACUGCUCCUACACAAACUGUAUCUAUCUUUGGUGGGUCAUCUUUCUUUUCUUGUAUGAUAAAGUAUUGUAUUUAUGGUGUGCUUGCAAAUAUGUUAAUUGAAGAAGUUUCCAGUGAAUUUUCUAAAGUAUGAUAUAAUUUCCUUUAUGAACAUUAAAAUUUUAACUUCAACUCGUACAAGUAUGGCAUCCCAAUUUAGUUGUUUCAUGAUAUAUAGAUUCUUUAUAAAGUUACCUAGGUAUGUGGAUAUGAGUGAUGAGUGUUCUUGUCAGAAAACAUGAUUUAUCCUAUUAGUUUCAGAUUAUUUUGAUCUGAAUAUGUUUUGGAUUGAAAAUUCAGAUUUUCCAAUUUUUAAAAUCUAUAUAAGUAAAACAAAAAUAUGUUCUAAAAAAAUUACAAAAUACAGAUCAGAAAUAGAAAACAGAUUUAAUGAAAUGAAUUCUAAACAGAUCAAAACAGUGCAAAAGUGGAUCAGAAUGGGGAAAAAAUAUUUUUGUCCACCCCUAGACUUAACACAUAAUAAAUCUUCAAGGUUAGUUUUAUAUGGCUUUUUGCAACUGAAGUAUUAAAACUUUUAUGGGGUAAAUAUUUUAUUUGAUUAUCUUUGAUCUCAAAUUCUUUGUCUGUGAUCAUUAUAACAUCAUUACUGUGAGAAAAGGAUCAAAACGAAAUAAGUGAAGUUUUUUAACAAGUGAAACAAAGUACCUUUUCAUUAUAUUUUAAUUGUAGUCGAAGAAAUAUCUUCGUCUUUGGUAAUUAUAAAAGGAAAAAAAUACAACUUUAACACAGGUGUCAUUUUAGUGUGAAUACCAUGGGACUUUACUCCUUCUCACUUUCUUUGUAUCCAUAAGAUUAAAAAGUAAAGUGAUACACAAUAUAGCACAUCAGGUAAGUUGUUUCUUAAAAUGACAUUUCAAGCGUCACCAACAAAACAGGAGUCUCUAUAAGUUCUAUUUUAUACUUUUCAUCUAGAUGCUCUCGGCUUGGUUGCCUAAGUUCGUUGUCAAAAAGUGAGAUUAUUACUUGUAUCUUGGUGUGAUGACUUUAUUAAUAUGUAAAAUGCUAUUGUGUGGGUUGUUGUUACAUUGAAACGAAUGAUUUGAGCAUGAUUGUUGCAAUGCAUGCAAUGGAUUGAAGCGUUGCAUUUUUUAUUAGAUUCUUCAUCAAUAUUUGCAUUCUCGUAUCUUUUUGGUACUUAGCCAGAGAUUGAGGAAGUUCAAGUUAUGUCUCAAUUUUCUUUGUCAAUUUAGCUAGAGAAAAAUCCAGUAACAGAACAACUUUAAUAGUAUGAAGCAGAAAUUAGAGAAUCUGCGUGCAAUUUGAACACUUCAUUGGAUGAGAUAUCAUUCUCCAAACAGAAUCUUCCCACAGCUCCUGAUUGUAUGAAAAACCGUGAAUUUGAUAUUGUAAGUGUUCAGUAAUUCGUUCUGCAUUUGAUUCAUUAAUAGGUUUGAAUAUAUUUUGUUAAGUUGUUUAUGUAGCAUAUCUAUUUUAAAUGUGAAAUGCUUGGUAUGGUGUUGAGUGAAAACUAUUGUGAUGGAUAGUUGUGUGUAUAUCACAAGUCUGUAUUGUGGUAUAUGUAGUGCUAAAUGAAACAACUUUUUAAAUCUGACAACGUUACAUAUAUUUAAUAGCAAUUGUGGUAUUUGGAAUCAACUCUAGAAAAAAAUAUUUUUCUUGAGCUGUUUUUAAAUUCGGUUUUGUUCAGAGUGAUUCAUAAUUUAUUUCAGGUUUAGCAGCUUAACCCUGAAAUUGAACAGGCUGGAGAAAUCUGAUAAUAUGGCAGAAAGCUCUUCGGCUGCGCCUUCACUACCGAAACCUGUGGUGGUUAGGGUCAAACGCAAGCCCUCUCAGUUCCCACUUGAUGCUUUCUGUAAACUUUCUUCCUCUUUUUGUUUUUUUUUUCUGGGUUUUAUUUGGGCCAUUGCGUGCUUAAAGUUUUGUAUGUGGUUUUGUCAAUUCAAUGUAGGGUUGGAAAUUAAUGAGAGACCCUUGAAACGUUCUCUCUUGGAUCUUGGAAAUUUAACAAUCUCUGGUUCUGCUCAAAAGGGUAUGUUGCUCUUGGUUAAGUUUGUCUUACAGAUUAUUUACUUUAUGUGCGGUUAAGUCUCUUCAUAUUUUCCUGCAAGUAACUAUAUCUAUGCAACUUUAUGAGUAUUAUGAAUAGGAUUUGCUAUGCUUGUCUCCUUAGAAUUUAAUCUCUGUAUUAGCGCAUUUGAUGAACUUAUGGAUAGUGCAUGAUAUUUCAUAACGUGAUAACUGAUAACAAUGGUGAACCCAAUUCUCUGGAUAAGGAGGAGCAAUUUAUUUAAAGAAUAACAAGUGUUAUUACCAAGGUUAUAGAGAUUUGAAUCAUAAAUAGCCGAGUUUUUUCUUUUUAACAAAGGUGAAAAUUGGUUCAAAUAUGUGAUAUAUAAUGUUCAGUGUAAUCAAUAUAAACAAGAAAUGGAUAAAACAUUUAAAAGAAUGAAAAAGAAAAAAACUAUUAAAUAGCUUAAUAAAGUACACAUAUUGAGUGAGUGACAAAGAAAGGUGGAGUAAUCAAAUAGGAUAAGUUCUUAAGUGUUAAAUUCCUCUUCAUUUAAAAUGUAGGCUCACAUGACUUUUGGUUUUCAUAAGAAUUGGUGAAAGAGUAAAACAUCAUGAAUUGUCAAAUCUUAUAGAUGAUAAAAAUUAUAAGGGUUCGUUCAUGUACAGAAAGACAUAAAGUCAUUUUAAGAUUCAUAUUGAGAUAUGAGAUGGCAGAUUGCCAAAAUUUAUUGAAUUGUGAGAUUCUAAUUGUGAAUAGUAAGAUUCUGAUAACUAGGCUAUUUCCCUAUAUAUAACAUAUGGAUUUACGCAUUCUCAUAUCAAUGUGAUUCUGUCACUUGAUGGUGAGGUUAAUAACUAAACUUAAGUGGUUCAAGAACUGAAAAUUUAAUAUAUUUAAUAGUAUAUUUGAAAAAUUGAGGGUGUGGAACUGUGCACCCUCAGUUGAAUGUAGGUCUCCCACUGACUAAUAAUAUUUAGAUGUGUGAAGUUAUCCAGUUAGCAUUGUUUUUUGGAAGAGCAGAAAAUAAUGGAAACAACUCUUAUAAUGAUGAACUGUGCAAUUUGUGUGUGCCUGCAUUAAUCAAACGGGUCUAAGAAAUCAGGCUCACACACAACUCUUCUAUAACCAUAAUUACAAGCAAUGCCUAAACCCUGUUUAAUUUUCUUUAGUUAUGAAUGAAACCCACAAAAUCUCCAAGCUAUUUUCAUGCUCUACCUCUAUAGGACCAAUAAUCCUUGGAUUAGCAUAACAAACUAACUGUGGCCAUUGGUAUUGAUUUAGUUCAUCCUUUCUGGUGGACAUGCUGUUACAAAUGUAUUCUCCAAGCUGAUUCUUACUCAUUCUUCUUAUUGAGCAUGCAAUCCCCAGCUAUAAUGUAUAAGUAUUUUCCUUCCUGUAUUGAGUGUUACAAACUUAAUUUAUUUCAUUAUAAUUUUUUUUUCUUAAAAUGUGGAUUUCUUUUGCUUAUAAUAUCUAUUUUUGUGUUUAAAAAAACAAAGUUGCCAUGAUAGUGAUGCUACCUAAUUAAGGAUGCCGAAUGACUCAAAUGAAGCUAAAUAUGAACAAGUCUUUCUUGAGUUGAGAUGAUUAUUGACAAAAUGAAGUGCUAGGAAAUGCUGGAAUUUUUAGAAUUUAAUGCUGUUUAGAGUAUAUAGCUCAAUCCUGAUAUGAUUUUUCUCUACUAAAGUGGAAUUUCAUAGCAAGAAGGUUUUUGUUCAACAUGUGGAGACAAUAAGCAGCUCUGAGGUCACCUUUGAUAUUGUGCAAUCCUUUGUGGUAUGUUGUCCUCCUAGAUGGUGUUGUUGAUUCUUUCUCCUUAUGAUAGAGUAACAUCAUGAAGCAACAUCGUUCACUUUUUUCUUGAUUUCGAACAUCUUUUAUCUCAGUGUGCUGAGUUGGUAUGAUCAAUAGGGGUGACAAUUUUUAAUCAUCAUUGAGAAACUGGAUAUAUUUCAUUCUAUUGAGUAGGCCUUGUUGAUAGGUGACAAAUUUGAAUCAUUAUUGAUAAACUGGAUGGCCCUUAUCAAUUGACUGUUUCUUUAGGAUCCUGGUUCCAGUUCUGCUUCUAUUUUGAAGACGAAAUUUGAGGAAAGAAAGAACUUCUUCAAGAGGAAUAAUGUAAGUCUUUUCUUCUUCCAUCUCUCGUCUGCCUGUGCAGAAUGACAAAGUCACAUGCUUGUGCAUUCUUUAAGUCAUUAAGUAACUGCUCAGACUAACUGAACUUUUGAUAACUUCACAUUAUUUUAUCAUACUUUUGUCUUUCAUUUUUUCCUACUUUUAAUGUAUGCAGAAGCAAGAUCAGCUAUUGGUUAAAGCUAAACAAGAAAAGGAGGUUUGUUACAUGUCUAAUAUUUAUUCAUAUUUAUGGAUGUGCAUAUCUGUGGACAUUCAUAACGCUAUGCCUUGCAUAAUUUCUUCUCAUAUCCUUCUGUACUACUUUCAUCUGACAAUCCCCUUUCCUAAAUUUUGCAUGAUGGUAUGAUUGUUUUAAGAACUGUUCUUUUUCUUUUCUGUUCCUUUUGUCAUUUUUUCUGAAAAAUUUAAUUUCAUUCAUAUUAUGUUGAACUUAAUAUAUUUUGAGUGUAUAGGAAAAAGUUUCUUAAUAUAUUUUGAGAAAGUUUCUUAAAAUACAUAGGAAAAAGUUUCUUAAUAUAUUUUGAGUGUCUUUCAUGUUCAGAUCUAUGUUAUUCUAACUCCUGUUCAAAUCAAUUGAAAUUUUAUGUAUGGUUGUUUGAAAUUUUAUCAAUGUAGCUAUUUCCUAGUAAAAAGUACAUUGGUUACUUUGUUAAGCAAAUUUUAGAGUUUAAACCUUAUGGAUGAAUAUAAUGUGGUUGGGAGGGGCGAUUCCAUUAUAAGUGGUCAUUCUGGUUUUCUGAUGGGAAUUAGUUAAUGUUGAAUGCUUUGUACCAAUAAAAUCAUUAUCCAUAAAAUAACUUAGUGUCUGAGAUGAUAAGAUUAGAGAAGCUAAACUUUUAAGCUCACUUGCAUAUGAUUUGGGAUAAUUGUGUAAUUGAUUCUCCUGCUUGUGAAUAAAGUACACGAUUUUCCUUUUUAUUCAAAUAAUUCUAACUAUUUCGUGUACAAGGAAAUCUCCUAUCACCCAAAAGUCCUGUGAUAAUGUUCAAUGUAGUUGCAAUAACAACAUUCCUGGAAUUCUUCCACAACCAUUAGCUCAACUAGGUAAGAACUCUUAGGUAAUGUUGGGAAGUUUCUUACAGCUGGCGCAGAUUCAAAAUCUGGUCAUUGCUUUGUGGUGAUAUUCUAUGUUAUAUAUUAUCCAUGGUUAGAUGUGGCUGUUCCAUUACUAAAUUAGUACCUAUGUUAAAGAGUCAGUUUCUUUUUUGUAUCAUGUAAUGGAACACCAAUGCUAUUUCCUAUCCCAAUAAAUUCUUGCGUAGGAAGAUGAUAGACAUGAAAAUUUAUUAAUAAUGGUAUCCUUACAAAUUAAAUUCCCCUCUUCUAUCUCUGAAAUCCUGUCUUUGCUGUAUGUCCCUUCCCUUUCAUAUUUUUAAAGUUUCUCUUAUAUUAAAAUCUCUCCUCAGCACUGAUGUUGAACCAGGGAUGGACCUCAUGUUACGUCUCAGGGGCAGUGCCCACCCUCCCUAGAAAAUGAAAAUCACAUGGGCUCUGUUUAAAAAAAUAAAUUGUCCCCUCGUCUAAUACUCUUUAGCAUUCAUGAUAUUUAUACUAUCUUUUAUCAUUUUUAUAGUUGUGGCUGAAAUAAAUAAUUGAAAGUGAUGAACAAAAUUAUAAAUAGUACUUAUAUUUAUUAAUGUUGUACAUAGAAAUACUAACUAAUUUAAAAUAUUUUAUAUUUUAUACUUCUAAUGUAAAGUACAAAUUUUUCAUGACCACCAUUUUUAAUUCUUUAAUUUUCCAAACUUGUCAUUAUUGUCUUUUUCAUAAAACCUAGAACGAUGUAAACUAAAAUUUGUAUCAGAAAAUUCUCAUAUUAAGAUAUUUUCUGGUUAAACGACAUUGGGUUUACUUGUUGCUUUAGCUUUUAUACCCAGCUUGGUUUACUUGUUGGCGUCCUGUAUCACCAACUGACCUGUUGGAAUUUAUUAAGCUAAGAAUCUUGUUUGAGAUUUUGAGUGGAUUUCCAUACAUAAGAUGUCUUUUAAUAGUUUGAAUUUUGUUUGAAAAAGUUGUUUGGAGCACAGUUAGCUAGGUACAUGUUUGCUUUUGAACGUGGCAAAAGAUUUUUGUUUGGUGUUCACAGAUUUCAACUCUAUAAUUUGUCAAAAGUAAUUGGCUUAGGUGUAAAAUUAUCAAGCUUUCUGUAACAGGUUACCUUGUGGAAUAAUUGUCUCAUUUUAUUCUCUUUCAGUCUUUGGCAAAAGAUGCUCGCUUUGAACAAAUAUGGAAAAGCAGGAAGGGAAACAAAGGGACAGGGACAACACAUGAUAAAGAAUUACAAGAAAUAUGCAAUUUCUAUGACAUUGUUCGCGUUGACAAUGAAGAGAAAAAGAAGGAAGUGCAACCGCAGUAAGUAUUUCCAUCAGAAUGUUGUUAAUCGUAGCAAGUAAAAAAUCUGCCAUAAAAUUAUGUCAGACGGAAAAUUGGCCUAUAAUGGAAGCAUGUCAGCUACAAUAAAAUUGUAAUGAGACGAAUUGAGAAUAGGAAUGUCCAUAUUACGACCUGGGAAUUGUAAGAUUCAUGAUCAAUAAUAAAACAUAACUCUAAGAAGAAUUUAACAUAAAGAAACAUAUACAAAUCAAUACACACAAGUUAAAUAGCUAGCUAAGUGACAAGUUUUAAAUUAUUUUUUAUUUAGCUUCCAAAUUUUCUUGAUUAAAUUUGAACAUAAAACCUGAUUAUAAUAAAUCUAGAGUUUGUUCUUUCUCUAUAUAUUGAUUAUGUGAAGGUAAUAUGGAUGUCGGUCCUUCAAUGGAGUGACAAUGUUAGGAGUCCCACAUUAAGUAGGAUGAGCUAUUUGAUGCAGUAUUAAACCCUGGAGACUCACCCACCUAAUGGUUUAGUAUUUUAGAUUGAACUCUCCCAUUGUACUUCAGUCCAAACAGAAACGUAAUCAUGCUGUCGCUUUUACUUGCACGCUUUCUUAUUGAAUUUUUGCCAUGCUUUGCCGUACUGCUUGGCUACAAUUUAACAAAACUGUUUCAUCAGAAUUUUUGUUUUCAUAUAUUUGGACAACUAUAAUAAAAAACGUUUAAUGUGAUUGAUGCAGAGAAAUCUCAUUGGAGGAUCAAAGACUUCUGUCUAGUUACCUUCCUUUACUGAGAGAAUUUAUUCCUAAUGCGGCUGAAGAGGUUGAAGCCGAUUUGAUUGCUCAUUUGAGUGGUCAUUCCAAAGGAGGUGGUUAUUUUAUUUAGUUGCUAAAUACACUAUUAAAAUAUUACUGAUUCUGCUACUUUUUGCCCAAUGCGCACUUAUUUUUUUUAAAUAACUGACAGAUGAGUGAAAGCAAACACAUUUUUCUUAUUCUUGUUGAUUAUAGAAAAAAAAUGUCUUAGUUAUUUUGUGGCAUUUUAUCAUUGUCUCCACUUCAGUUAGUUGCUUUGUAUGCAGUAUUUGCUGACCGUUUUUCUUGUUUAUAUGGUUUCAAUUUAAUUGGUCUUGUGUGACGUACUCCAGAGAAUUAUGUGUAUGACCUAUACACUGUGACGGAUGAGAUGGAUAUAAGCCCAGAAGAUACUUUAGCUUCUUAUCCACUGUGAGUGUUUUGUCAUUAUGUUCAAAUGGCUUUCUUUUUGUCUUGCUUCUGGACACUUGUUUAUUUUGGCUCAGUGUUCAAGUUGAGGAGGAGGAGGACUAUUAUGAUGGCCCAGAUGAUUCAGAUUAUGAAUCUGAUGACUCAAAUGGUAUUCGCUAGUCUACCUACCUUUUCACCUCAUUACACCCUUCAAAACGUAAUCACAUACGGCUAAACAUUUCAUUACUUUUGUUGGUUAUAGCUGAAAACAAUCCAUUGAAUGAUUAUCCGGAUGAGAUUUCUGAAGAGGAUGAAGAAGAGGUUGAAGAUUCCGAGAGUGAAUCAGAAGGUGUAAAUGGCGAUGCUAGUAACGAAUCUUCAAACGAGGAUACAGAACAUCAUGGUUUUUCCAAAGAUGAUGCUGAUCCAUAUGAUGAGGAUUUUGAUGAGUAUGAAGGUGUUUGUAAUGAUGAUGAGAAUGAUGAAGAUGAAGAUUGGAGGUGGUCGUACCGAUGAAGUUGACUUUGCUGAAGGAACGAAAAUGCUGAUGUUGAUGUUAUAUCUAUGGGGUGGGGUAAAAGUUUUGAACAAAAUCAAAACUGUGCAGCAGCCGUCGAACUAGAUAUAGACAUUAGGGAUGUUAUAGGCAUUUUUUCCUUGUGGACCUAAUUUUUUGUGUUGGAAUUUGAGCUAGAAUGCUUACUUCUUUGAUAAAGGGUUUUUAUCAUCAUUAUAUCUUGUAUAACUUGUAGUUUUUACAGAAAGGGUUUGGAUACUGGCUAACGUCUAUUCUCUACACGUACAAGUUCUACUUCAGUGUAAAAGUGGUGUUUGGAUAUAUAACAUUUAACAACUUAUGGCUUAAAGAAUCUGUCACUAGGCCUUGCAAAAAGGUUAAUAUUUGAAGUCUCCAACAAAAGCUUUUCACAGAACUGCACCUGUAAAAUAAGUGGAAAAAUAUUUCCUCAAUAAAAUUUCAUAAUGGUGAACAGUCUCCUUUUUGUUUUGGAAACAAAAAUAUAAAAUCUCACCUGAUUUUAUAUAUUAUACUUGGAAAUGGUGCCCUAUUAUUAUUUUUACUUUCAAAUUUUGGGAUUAAAAUGUUUUUAAAUUUGAUGAACUGCAAUAUUCUUAAAUUUUGAAAAUUAAAAACACAUUUUUAAUUAAAUAAUUAAAAAAUUUAGUUUUUAUAUGAUUUUUAAUAAUUUUAAUAAUAUAAAAUAUUUAUGUAAUUCUAUCAUAAUGAAUAUGAAUAUUUUGUAGUUCUUCUCAUAAUAUAUAUAUAUAUAUAUAUAUAUAUAUAUAUAUAUAUAUAUAUAUAUAUAUAUAUAUAUAUAUAUAUAUAUAUAUAUAUAUAUAUAUAUNNNNNNNNNNNNNNNNNNNNNNNNNNNNNNNNNNNNNNNNNNNNNNNNNNNNNNNNNNNNNNNNNNNNNNNNNNNNNNNNNNNNNNNNNNNNNNNNNNNNNNNNNNNNNNNNNNNNNNNNNNNNNNNNNNNNNNNNNNNNNNNNNNNNNNNNNNNNNNNNNNNNNNNNNNNNNNNNNNNNNNNNNNNNNNNNNNNNNNNNNNNNNNNNNNNNNNNNNNNNNNNNNNNNNNNNNNNNNNNNNNNNNNNNNNNNNNNNNNNNNNNNNNNNNNNNNNNNNNNNNNNNNNNNNNNNNNNNNNNNNNNNNNNNNNNNNNNNNNNNNNNNNNNNNNNNNNNNNNNNNNNNNNNNNNNNNNNNNNNNNNNNNNNNNNNNNNNNNNNNNNNNNNNNNNNNNNNNNNNNNNNNNNNNNNGAUUUUGGGACACGAUAUAUAUUAUGCACACUACAUGCAUCCCUUAUAUUGAUGACCGUUCGGUCACUUUUACUGACUUGAGCGUUGGAGUGCCUUUGGCAGGUACUCGCCCCCGCCCGGCUUGGAGAAGAAGGAAGGAGAGAGAACGAACAAGCUUGAGUUUGAAGAGGACCAUGAUGACCGUCCGGCCUCCAGCAAGUCCCCGUCAGGAAUGUUCUAAGGGACCUCCAAACUCGACCGAAACAUUAAUGGCGCCCACCGUGUGGCCGAGCAUGCAUCCCCAUUCGUACCCAUAAGGAAAGGGUGAGUAGUGCUCUCAAGAAUCUCAGGUGAACCUCUCAAGCCGCUCGGUUCCGGCCCUUCGGGCUCAACCAUCCGGCCCUUCGGCCUCAACUGCUCGGCCAUUCGGCCUCACAGGUACUUAGCCAAAUUUGGCAGCAACUAUUCGGCCCAUCGGCCUCAAUUACUCGACCCAUCGGCCUCAACCAUCCGACCCUUCGGCCUCAACUGCUCGGCCAUUCGACCUCAGGUACUUAACCAAAUUUGACAGCAACUAUUCGGCCAUCGGCCUCAAUUGCUCAGCCCAUCGGCCUCAACCAUCCGGCCCUUCGGCCUCAACUGCUCGGCCAUUCGGCCUCACAAGUACUUAGCCAAAUUUGGCAGCAACUAUUCGGUCCAUCAGCCUCAAUUGCUCGGCCCAUCGGCCUCAACUGCUCGGCCAUUCGGCCUCACAGGUACUUAGCCAAAUUUGGCAGCAACUAUUCGGCCCAUCGGCCUCAAUUUCUCGGCCCAUCGGCCUCCACCAUCCGGCCCUUCGGCCUCAACUGCUCGGCCAUUCGGCCUCACAGGUACUCAGCCAAAUUUUGGAGCAACUAUUUGGCCCAUCGGCCUCAAUUGCUCGGCCCAUCGGCCUCAACCAUCCGGCCCUUCGGCCUCACAGGUACUUAGCCAAAUUUGGCAGCAACAAUUCGCCCCAUCGGCCUCAACCAUCCGGCCCUUCGGCCUCAAUUGCUCGGCCAUUCGGCCUCACAGGUACUUAACCAAAUUUGACAGCAACUAUUCGGCCCAUUGGCCUCAAUUGCGUGGCCCAUCGGCCUCAACCAUCCGGCAUUUCGGCCUCAACUGCUCGGCCAUUCAGCCUCACAGGUACUUAGCCAAAUUUGGCAGCAACUAUUCGGCCUAUCGGCCUCAAUUGCUCAACCCAUCGGCCUCAACCAUCUGGCAUUUCGGCCUCACAGGUACUUAGCCAAAUUUGGCAGCAACUAUUCGGCCUAUCGGCCUCAAUUUCUCGGCCCAUCGGCCUCAACCAUCCGGCCCUUCGGCCUCAACUGCUCGGCCAUUCAGCCUCACAAGUACUUAGCCAAAUUUGGCAACAACUAUUCGGCUCAUCGGCCUCAACCAUCCGGCCCUUCGGCCUCAACUGCUCGUCCAUUCGGCCGCACAGGUACUUAGCCAAAUUUGGCAGCAACUAUUCGGCCCAUCGGCCUCAAUUGCUGGGCCCAUCGGCCUCAACCAUUUGGCCCUUCGGCCUCAAUUGCUCGGCCAUUCGGCCUCACAGGUACUUAACCAAAUUUGACAGCAACUAUUCGGCCCAUCGGCCUCAAUUGCUCGGCCCAUCGGCCUCAACCAUCCGACAUUUUGGCCUCAACGGCUCGGCCAUUCGGCCUCACAGGUACUUAGCCAAAUUUGGCAGCAACUAUUCGGCCCAUCGGCCUCAAUUGCUCGGCGACCGGGGAUCUUCAACAAAUGAAUCCCGGCCGGCCUUUCUGAAGGUCGGCGACCGUGGAUCUUCAACAAAAGAAUCCCGGCCGGCCUUUCCUAAGGUCGGCGACCGUGGAUCUUCAACAAAAGAAUCCCGGUUGGCCUUUCCGAAGGUCGGCGACCGUGGAUCAACAACAAAGGAACCUCGGUUGGCCUCACCAAAAAUCUCCACAACAUCACUUAAGCAGGAUCAGUGGGCCGUCCACUCAUCAACAAGAAGAGGCGACUUAAAGGCAAAAGCAAACCAAGCCACUCGUCCUUUCCAGGAGAGCCACCUACUAAAACCCAUCGCAUCAUUGACAUCAUGCUCGGGCUUAGGGGGCUGAUGUACCGUACAGUACCCGGGGACCGUACGGUCUCCUAGGCAUCACUAGGCCGACCAUCCAGGUCGACCAACCACCAGGCCGAUCAUCCAGGCCGAUCAUCUACGCCGACCACCAGGCCGACCAUCUGGGUCGACCAACCAUCAGGUCGAUCAUCCAGGUCACCAGGCCGAUCAUCCAGGCCGACCAGUCGGGUCACCAGGCCGACCAUCUGGACAUAUUAUAAACGAUAAUAGUUCAUUAAAGCCCCUAAUGGAGGUUAAGGUGUGAUUAGGCCGUCAUCAGGCCCACGAAAGGUAAAAGCCCAUUACAACUAGUAUAAAUAAAGGUCUCAGGUAUGAUUUUGGGACACAAUAUAUAUUAUGCACACUACAUGCAUCCCUUAUAUUAAUGACCGUUCGGUCACUUUUACUGACUUGAGCGUCGGAGUGCCUUUGGCAGGUACCCGCCCCCGCCCGACUUGGAGAAGAAGAAAGGAGGGAGAACGAACAAGCUUGAGUUUGAAGAGGACCAUGAUGACCGUCCGGCCUCCAGCAAGUCCCCGUCAAGAAUGUUCUAAGGGACCUCCAAACCCGACCGAAACACACACACAUAUAUAUACAUAUAUAUAUAUAUAUAUAUAUAUAUAUANNNNNNNNNNNNNNNNNNNNNNNNNNNNNNNNNNNNNNNNNNNNNNNNNNNNNNNNNNNNNNNNNNNNNNNNNNNNNNNNNNNNNNNNNNNNNNNNNNNNNNNNNNNNNNNNNNNNNNNNNNNNNNNNNNNNNNNNNNNNNNNNNNNNNNNNNNNNNNNNNNNNNNNNNNNNNNNNNNNNNNNNNNNNNNNNNNNNNNNNNNNNNNNNNNNNNNNNNNNNNNNNNNNNNNNNNNNNNNNNNNNNNNNNNNNNNNNNNNNNNNNNNNNNNNNNNNNNNNNNNNNNNNNNNNNNNNNNNNNNNNNNNNNNNNNNNNNNNNNNNNNNNNNNNNNNNNNNNNNNNNNNNNNAUAUAUAUAUAUACACACAUAUAUAUAUAUAUACACAUAUAUAUAUAUAUAUAUAUAUAUAUAUAUAUACACACAUAUAUAUAUAUAUAUAUAUAUACACACAUAUAUAUAUAUAUAUAUACAUAUAUAUAUAUAUAUAUAUAUAUAUAUAUAUAUAUAUAUAAAAGUUUUCAAAAUUAGUGUUUAAUAUAAUUUUGCAAGUCGUAUAAUUAACUCUACUUUAUUACUUGUUUCAUUAUGUGGGAUUGAGAUAUACACUUUCACAAUUUAGUCUUCUUUUAUUCCUAUUGAGUUCUAACUAUACUUGUAUAAUUAACUCCACUUUAUUACUUGUUUCACUAUGUGGAAUUGAGAUAUACACUUUCACAAUUUAGUCUUCUUUUAUUCCGGUUGAGUUCUAUCGAUAGCUUUCUAUCAUUUGUUGUCUUUUCUCCGUGAUCAGAAUUCAAACAAAAGUACAUGUUAAAGAUACUUCAGACACUUAAAUUAAUUUUAGAUUACCAACCAAUUAUUAUAAUUAAGUUUAAAAAUAUACAAUAAAUACAAUUAUUUAUCUUUUUACCUUACCUCUAUAUUUACAUGAUUCUAUAUAAACCUUUGAUUACUAAUGAUCCAAUCAUAAUCUAAUCACGUCUCAAUAUUGUCUAAAAUGUUUUUAUUCCGCUAACUAAAAUGACGAUAUACUGUACAUUAACCGGUUCGGUUAUUACUGCGGGUUCUUCCCGAUCGGUUCAUAUAGUACAUAAAAGUGUUUUGCUUAUUCAAAGCAUCAUAAUUUUUCUUCAACAAUAUUUGCCCACAUAAACAACGGUGUUUGUAUAAGCCACGUCAUAUUAUUUGCUCCAGUGAUAACUUAUGUUAGACAACAGUUAUGUUAAGCUUCAAACAAAUUAUGUUAGGCUACAGUUACGCAACGAACAAAUGUACUGGAGAUCACCUGAACAAUUUCACAGUUAGAACCUUAUGUUGCUUUGAUAACUAAAAUGAAACUAUGUUCAGCAAAUUGUACUAGAAUAAAUGAGAUUAUUGAGUAUAAUUUUCAUGUAUAAUCAUUAUAAAUUAUCAACUAAUCCAAUAACCAUUAUUUGUAAAGCGUAAGCCAUGGUUAUGCCUGUUACAUAGUGUUGCAUUGUGUGAAGUUGAGUUAAAGUAAAAGAAGAACAGAAACCAAAUUUUACUGUUAGAGAAUUAUUUAUGUACCACUAACACUAACAUUCAUACUGAGCAAGUAAUACAGUCCAAAAAUCGAUGUGAACAGAACCUAUAGAUGGAUGAAAUAGGAGCCAUGGGGUGCAACAUUUGUUCUUUCUCGUGUUGUCGCAUGACAACUGAAGAUACUGUACACCAAUCAAAUCCUUCCUAAUACAAUUUUCCAUAACGACAAGCAUCUUGCGCGGAGAAAUGAACUGAGGUUACCAAAGAAUUCACCACAGUUGACUACAACUAGACGUGAAACUGUGGUACCACUUAUCCUAACAAACAAUCAUCAGCACUGCAACUAGUUGUGCUCAUACUACCCAUACAACAACAUAUUGUAUAUAUUAAUUACCAUGGAGCAGCAUUCCUUCCCGCCACUAAUACAGCAUGGAAGUCGGAAAACUAGCUACUUCAGAAAUUCUCGUAGUAUGUAUCUUCAAAUACAUCGCCAAAAGGGAUGAAUAACUGAGUGUGAGACCCUCGAACUCCCAGUGUCAUGUGCUUCCUGGAGCAUCACUUCCCACAGCUGGUUUGCGAUUCAGAUAUCGAAUAACAGCAUCUUCAACCCUGUUCAAGUUGUCAAACAAGAUCAAAUUUUACAAUGAUUGUAACUGACGUGCAUUUAUAUAACAUCGAAGAAAAAGCACAUAGACACCGAUCAAGUCUAUGAAUAUAAAUUGGCACAAACACUAAGCAACUAUUGAGACUUAAAAGUGCUAUGAAUAUAAAAAGAAGGAACAGCGUUAAGUGCAAUCUUUAGAAGCCUCAGGGGUGUCAAUAUGAUUUGCUCAAAGGAAAAACAUGUUAUGCACUUUUAGUCACAUCUGAAUUCUGAAAUGAAAUCCUCCCGUGGAUAUGAAUAGAAUCCAAAGAAUAUCAUACAUCACCCUAAACAAAGGCAACACAUAUCCAAGUAAACUAUUAAUCUCUAAACUAUAAAGCUAGAUUUUAAAUUAUUCUCAAUACAUCAAUGGUAGCAAUGUUGACAGUAUAGUGAACAAAAAAUAAGUUAAAGCUUACCAUGGUUGGUUGAAGAAAUCUGAUCGACGCUCUUUUUCUGCAUUGCGACUAGGUUCUCCGGAAACAAGUUUCAGAUCCCUGCUUUGAGAUUCAAUCAAUGCAUUAAUAAAUUCUACUGGCGAUUGACUGAAACCAAGAAAGAAUGACCGUCUCCUUCUGUGCUCAUGAAUUUUUCUAAUGAUUCCACAUAUUGCUUCAUCACAUGUCUCAAUCUCUUUGUUCUUUUCCACAUUGGCCAAUAAAGCAGACAACUCCCUCUGAAUUGGGAAAGGAACAUCAACCAUCACAUCAUAACAAGCAGUCCCAACUGGACUGUUUCCCGAUAGCUUGAUCUUGUGUUCCAAAAGUAUAGGCUGUGGAGGGAAUAAAUGUGAAGAUAUUUUCUGCGAAACCAUUGUAAACUUCAUCUUUUCUUCUCCAAAUACUUUCUGAAGAGGCUGAUCACAGUGAAAGAAAGAAGGGUCAUUAGGGUUUUGCAACUUCCUGGCCUUUACAUAGUGCCAGAUCGCUGCAACAAUCCUUGGGCGGGUAUCAACCUCAAUACCAAGAACCUCUGUCAAAGCAGGUGAAAGCUUAAACUUCUCUGGCACAUAAUUCAUUUCCAGACGUAUAUUCACUGUAAACUCUUUAUCCCCUUUCCUCUUUACUUCAAAACCUUCAUGUGGAGCAGGAGAUCGAGCAUUCUCCCACAUAAUAAUGUGACUAUCUGGAUAUAGUCUCUGAUCUAAAGAAAUGGUUACUCUUUUGAAGAAAGCUGAAAACUUCGGAUACAAAGGAGUGGACUUCUGAACCACUCCUGGCUGAUCAGGGUCUACACCAUCUUCCAAUAUCCUUCCAACUAUCUUCAGCGUCCAGGUUGGAGGCUCUGCACUCGGCUUCUUUGGAAUUGUGCGAAUUUGAUUAGCAAAAGUGUUAAAUACAUAGAUGCGAAGAGUUUUCUGAAUACAGGGUGGGUUUUUGAGCGCUUCCUGGAUGUCAGCCUUCUUUCUAGCAAGUGCGGCAUCAACACGAGACUCAAACUCUAGAAGCUGUGUGUACAGUGCGGACUCGGGUAGUAUAGCUGCCACUUUAUCUUGCAGCUGUUUCUCGGGAAGCUUCUGCUUCUUCCUCCGCGAAGCAGGUGUGAGCUCCAUCGGUCUCAAAGGGGAGAAGUUGUUAGGAGGGGAAAAUCCCACUGGCCGAAUUGGGGGUUUUAGAGGGAUCCGUUUCCCACUUGCAUUACCCGGUGUGGAAAUAGCCGACGACAGCCCCAAACUCCCCAAACCACCAACUUGGUUCUGAUUAAGAGUCAACCCCUGUGCUUGCAAAUGAGCCUGGAUUUGAGCAUGGGCUGCAGCUGCUGCUUGGGCAUGAGCCUGAGCCUGGGCCUGGGCCUUGGACUGAGCUUGGACAAUAGCAUGAGCCUGGGAAAGUGGAAACUGCCCUUGAAAACCAACGGGAAUCUGCCCUUGUCCUUGGGACUGUGAAAAACCAUGGUUUGCAGGUAUAGAAUUGGAGGGUAUUCCAGCAUUGCCAAAGGAUGAGGAAGACGCCCCAAUGCCCUUAGAAGGGUUAUUAUUGUUCACAGACAUCACUGUCCAAACCUAAUCCACUAGUCAACCAGAAAUGGGCAAAACAAAAAACAAAAACAAAACCUCAAUACCAAAAUGAAAAUAUCCUAUCUUUUAGCUCUCGAUCUUAACCAGUGAACCAAGUGGGAAAAUAACCAACAAAAUCAAGCGUCCAAAUUCAAAACUCGCGUGAGUCGCCACCAACUACGAAUUUGCAUUGCCCCGGAAAAUUACAAAAAACCGCAAAUGAAAAACCACUGAAUCGACUAGGGUUUACCUCGAUCUGGCUUUGGAAGGAUCCGCGUAACUCCAGGUGAUUAGAAGAACACGAGAUUAGCUUCGGCACAUGGGGCUUCGGUGGGAGAGAGGGAUGGAUUGGAAGGAUCUGGAAUUUGAGGAGAGAGUGGGCUAAAUUAGAGAAAUGGGAAAGAGUGAGAAAAUUUGGGAGUGGUUCUUUUCUGGAAGGUGGACGAUGAUUGCGCUGAAGCCUGGCUAGGGUUAGGAAAAUGGCCCAAAUUUUAGAGGUCAAACCUCAAAGUUUAGUCACUGAAUGAGAGUAUGCCUUCCCUUCUACCUUUCCAGCAAAACGCCGUCGUUCCUGUUGCCUCGUUCUUCCUACAAAGUGAUAUUUUCUAAAAAUAUUUUAAUAAUGUUUUGUUUUUUCAUUAUGAAUUUAUUUUAUUCAUUUUGAUCUCAUGUAUGAUUGCUAUUUAUUAUCAUAUAACAUACUAAAUUAGGGACAUCUCUAUUCAUGUUUUUGAGAAAGUUUUAAAAUAUUAUUUAAAGCACAGCUCAAAUAACUUUAUGUAUUUCUGUUUGUUUUACAUUAAAUAAUUAAAUAUAUCUUUUAAAAUGUUAAGUGACUUUGCAAUAUUAGAUAAGGAAAAAUGUAAUCAUGAAUGGAGAAAUAUAUUUAGUAAGACUUUAAAAAUAUAAUAAAUUUUAUUAUUAGGAAGAAAAUAAACUUUGAUAUUCCAGUUAUGAUUUGAAAAGCUUAACUAGUCCAACCGUUUUAACUGCAAUGGAAUUAACUUACUAACUAGACUGGUCACAUUAAAAUAGAAUUUUUCCAAAAUUGGUAAGUGGUCAGGAAUCAGUCAAACUUUGGUGCAUUCGACCCAUUUGAACAGAAAAUCAUUGAAUUUGGGAUUUUAAUUUAGUAAAACACAAUAGGUAAUUGGUUUAUUUUGAAAUAAAAGGGCUUCUUUUGGUGAUUAAAACAAAUUAAAAUUCAAAAGAAAUAGAUUAGAAUAAAAUCAUUUUAACCUAUUAAAAUGAAAUUUAAUGUGUUAAAUGUAUUGGUAGAGUUUUGAAAACAAUAGUAUAUGCUGUUAUUAAUAAAGUAAAUUAACCUUUUUAAUUAUUAAAAGCACUAAAAGUUCCAUAUUAACCCAUUUUAAUAAAUUAAAAGGGUUUUUAAUAUACUAAAACAAAAAGAAAUAUUCUGUAUUUGCGAAAAUUAAAUCAAAACUAAAAGUAAUCAAAUACCUUUAACUUUAAAUAAAAAUCAAUACAUUAAUUAAAACUGAAAUUAAAGUAAAAUAUGUAAUGAUAAAAAUAGAGAAACAAAAAGUUCAAUGAACUAAAUUUAUAAAGGGAUUAAUUAAAGAUUUUUAUAGUUCAUUUUUUUUAAGAAAAGCUUUCUUUUUAAGUUAUCCAGUUCAAACUUUAUUUAGAACUGCAUUUCUAGAACUAGGACCAUUAGACUGGGAGAGUCUCACCGACUUGAAAAUUUGAUAGAAAGGAACAUUCUCCUUUUAAUAAUUUACUUUGGAUAAUUUAAUUUUAAUUAUCAAAUAAAUUCUGAUAUUGUAUGUUCACUUCAUAUAUUUUUAUCAUAACAAAUAAUAUUUAAUUUUAUUUAAUAGUUGAUUUUAGUUAAUAAGAAUGAUAAAUAUAUUUGUGCGUAGGUAGAGAUCUGUUUUUGUUUGUUCUUACAUAAUUGAAAAUUUUGAGAAGAUUCUUCAAACUCUUUUUAGAGAAGACUUCUUAUUCUUCAAUCCAAAAUAUUUUAGUAUAUUUUAGUAUUUGGAUGGUAGUUGUAUUUUAAACUGAAAUAUUUUAGGUUAUAGUUUUUCAAGAUUGAAAAAGAAUGUGUUUACGGAAGAACUUUAAUGUUUAAAUUAGUCAAGUGCAUUACAUAACAAUAGAUAUUGUAAUAAUAGAUAGGUUAAUCAUUUUUGAGGUUCCUAUUUAUGCAUAAAUGUCUCAAAUAGGUCAUUUUAUUAUUUGUUUUUUAUCUUAGUUAGGUAUCUAUUUGUAUAAAAUUGACUUAAUUGCACUUUUGUCGUUAAUUUGAGUGAACGAUAUUAACAUUUUAGCCACAUGGUAUGCUUAGUUUGCAAAUGUUAACUACGUGGCAUAUUGAAGUCGCAUUACGUGGUAUAAUAUGUUUUACCUAGUGGCAUUAUUUUAUGUUUUAAAAAAGUAAAGAUUAAAAAAGAGGUCUUGUACUAAAUUGGGGAUUAUACAAAGUUAGGGUUUGAGGGGUUUUUUAUUUUUGUUCAAAAUUGGGGAUCAUUCAAUCAAAGUAGUUGUUGAUCUACAACAUUAAGGUUUCGUUGUAGAUCAAAAUUGUUCUUUUGCGACGUAGGUGCCUGGGUUGCGAAAAUCUCUUUCUCAUCCAAAAAUUAGGGUUUUCGAAUUAGGGAAAUCUUCCUCAUGUAUUUUUCUCUCUUUGUGAUUGUUAACGCAAAUAGGGUUUCACCCUUUCAUCUGCGACGACACAUAGCAACGCAAUGGUGUUCAUGUUAUAAUGAUGACUUUCCCUAUUGUGCGAAAUUGCAGGUUCGUGGCUCGAAGAAAUUGUAGGUUCAUUCUUGUAGGUUCCAUUCGCAGAGAAGAUGAACUCGCGAACUGGGUUAUGUUUUCUGAUUGCAGGUUUUGAACCGUGAUUUGGGUGCUUGAAGAUGAUGGAGGACACAAAUCUAGUUCGUGAGACGCGAUUAGGAUUCACGGCGGUGGCGGUUUGUGUUUGAUGUUUCUGGUUGGGGAUUUUUCUGGGUUUAUAGGUAAAGACGCAAAGGUGACGAUUUGUGGUUGAAGGUGUGGUUGCUUGCACGAUUCUCGUGAUUUGGUGAAGGUUGGGUGAAUCGCAACGGUGCUCUACGACGGCUUGCGGCAACUUUGUGAUUUGGGUGGUGGCUUUCCUCCAACUACUUUCGUUACUUGAUUCUGUGUAAAAAAUCCCUAAAUAAUCCCUAAUUUAGGAUAAAAUGUUUUAUUUUAAUUAAAUUUUAGUUUUUUAAAAACUUAAAAUAACUAAAUUCAAUGUUAUGCGACUAACUUUGCCACGUGGUUAACAUUUGCAAACUUAGCAUGCCACGUGACUCAUAUGUUAACGUCGUUCACUCAAAUUAACAACAAAGGUGCAAUUGAGUCAAUUUUACACGAAUAAAGACCUAAUUAAGAUAAAAAAUAAUAGAAGGAUCUAUUUGAGACGUUUCUGCAUAAAUAGGGACAUCGAAAGUGAUUAAACCUAAUAGAUAUGUCCCCUAUUUACCUCGUGUAUUGUGUUAUUUAUACUAUAUUUUAUGUUUUUUCUUUUACCUAAAUGGAUCUGGUCUACGUGGUUAAUUACCAUGAGUAGUCUUUAAUUAACCAAUUUUGCUAAUGAUUCUUUAAUCUUGAUGUUAAUAUGAUCAACAUAAUUAAUGCUUGUCACGAAGGUUGCUUUAGCCGAUAUGUAGUCGGCUAAGUUGUCAUGGUAUGUCCUUAUACCAUAAGGGUCAAGUACAUCUAAGCACAAGUAGUUGAUGUACUCGCACACAUGUGGUACACUUGCCCCCAGGCUUAAUAUGGAUAUACUUGAGUCUUGAUGUUGUUGCCAUGGUGUUGGUACCUGUUGACAUUAUGUGAGAAAUUUUGGAUUUAUUUGGUCUUGUCCUAUAGGUAUAAUAGUCCUCAUGAGUAGUCUUUAAUUAACCAAUUUUGCUAAUGAUUCUUUAAUCUUAAUGUUAAUAUGAUCAACGUAAUUAAUGCUUGUCACGAAGGUUGCUUUAACCGAUAUGUAGUCGGCUAAGUUGUCAUGGUAUGUCCUUAUACCAUAAGGGUCAAGUACAUCUAAGCACAAGUAGUUGAUGUACUCGGACACAUGUGGUACACUUGCCCCUAGGCUUAAUAUGGAUAUACUUGAGUCUUGAUGUUGUUGCCAUGGUGUUGGUACCUGGUGACAUUAUGUGAGAAAUUUUGGAUUUAUUUGGUCUUGUCCUAUAGGUAUAAUAGUCCCCUAGAGGAGCAUAGUGACGAAGAGGUUUGAAUGAUGGGAUGUUAGGUUUGAAUAAAUGUGAGUGGUGAGUAGUUUUCAGGAUCAUAGGAAACCAAGCGAGAAAAUCCUUAGAAAAUCUCAUAAUUCUUUGUAUUGUUUAUAUCCUCUUUUUGAGAGUUAUCAAUUUGUUUCUUUGCUCAAAACAUAAACAUUGUUUGUGUUAUAAAUUCUGAAGAAAAUUAAAACACUUGGUGUUUAACUCAAUUGAGUUAAAAAGUCUAGAUUGUCUAGGGUUGGACCAGAAGUGGUAAGAAUACUUGUAAACCAGGAGUGGUUAAACUCGAACUAGUCAUAUUGACUAGGUGAACCAAGAGUGAUGAGAAUACUCUUUAUAUAUCUGAAGAGGUAAAACUCAUGAAAUCUUUUUAAAGAUUAGUGGAACUCCUUAAGAGUUCUUAAGAAAGAACUAGACAUAACUCAAGUUCAGUAAACCAAUAUAAAAUUUGUGUUUUAUUGCUUUUCUUCUUCAAAAGCUUUCUUAAAACUCCUUGUUAAACACUAUCGUUUGAACUUAUCCUUUGUCUAUCAAUCCUUUUAAAAACUAUUACUUGUAAAAGGUUUUAAAAACACUAUUUACCCUCCCUCUAGUGUUUUCCUGUGUUUCCAAUACAAGCUACAUUUGAAUGAAAGCAAUGAUAAAGCGUUGUAACGUUGUAACAUAGACCUGAAUCUAACCAGUUACCAACAAAGCCUAUGAAGUCUAUCUAGGAGUCAAAUCUGUGUCUAACGGUCAUUUCUCAAUAAGGCUAUAUAAAGAAGAUCUACUAAAGAGAAUAAGUUAUUGAAGUUGAGGAAGGUGAAAAUAGAAGAGAGAAAAGAACAUGCUCAAGAAAGAUCAUUAAACAAUGUCUUCACUCUACCUCAAGCAUAUAUCGUCUGAUGUUCUUCAACCUAAGAGGAAGAAUCUCAUAUGUUUACAUAUUGUAUUGUGUUGUACUUAUCCUCUCCUUGAGAGUUAUUCAAAUUUGUAUUUGUAAUCAAACACUGAAGGUGUUUGCAUCAAAUCAUUGUAUUGAGCUAAACGUUCUAGUCAAGAUUGACUAGGGAACCAAGGGUGGUUGACAAUACUCGGUUGUAAACCAGGAGUGAUUAUAACCCUUGACAACCAAGAAUGGGUAAACUCAAACUAGUCAAGAUUAACUAGGGAUACCAAGAGUGGUUAGAAUACCUGGAUACUAAAAGUGGUUAGAAUACCUGGAUACUAAAAGUGGUUAAACUUGGACUAGUUAGGAUUGACUAAGGGAACCGGGAAUGGUUUAGAAUACUCAUAUUAAUCAGGAUUGAUUAGGGGACUAGGAGUGGUGAUAAUACUUGCAACCAGGAGUAGUGGUAAUACUUGAAACUAGGAGUGGGUUAAACUCAGUUGUAAUCUUGAAUAAGAUUAGUGGAACCUUUCAAGAGUUCUUGAGGGAGACUAAAUGUAGCUUAGGAUGAGUGAACCAAUAUAAAAACAUGUGUGUUAUCAUUUUCUUUAUUUGAAAUGUUUUCUUUACAAAAGAUUUUUGAAAGUUGUAUUCAAACAACACCUCCUCCCCCCCUUUUCAGUGUUUUCCUACCCUUUCGAGUACUCACUCAAUUUCUCUCAUACUCACUUUAUAUAUUCAUAUAUUUUAUGCAUUUACUGACUUAAGAGUCAAAGAAUAUUUUGCAGUUGGAUUGUUCGUUCCAUGAUCAACAUUUCUACGUCAUCUUAAAGGAUCCAUGCUUCUUUUUUUUUUCCAGUAAGACAACUCCUAUAAUUUUUUUGACUCAAUAUUUUGACUCAAUAAUAAUAAUAAUAAUAAUUAUAAUUAUAAUUGUGAGGGUAAUAAUAUGUGAACUGCAACAACCUAAAGUAUAAUAAAAAAUUGCACUAAAACAAGUUGAAUGAUAAAAGAAUAUACUUUUUCGAAUUAAAAACACAAUGAUAAUAAUAAUUUUAGCAUAUUUAAGUUUUUUUUUUUUCACUAAGCAUAUAAUCUUAAAUGUAAUAAAAUUAAAAGGUGCGUAAUUUUGAAUUCCUAACUGUAUUUGUGGGGUUUGGUUUUAAGGCCAAACCCAAAGGGGAAAAGAGGGUCAUAAUGAGUAUCUCCAACAUUCAUUGGUAACUGAUCAACACUUUUGAACCAUGUCCUUGGAAGCUUUCCUCUAAAACCAUAGUCACCAAACAAAACAUCAGUCACACCAUUUCCCUCAGUACCAGGAAGCCAAGCAGCAACCAGAGCAUCAAUUUUCUCAACAUAUGGUUCUAUAACCAAAGGACGACCAGAGAUUAUCACAGUAACACACUUCACUCCUCCACACACAUUUUUUAUGGUUUCUGGCCCAGCUGCAGAGAUUGUCAAAUUCAAGCUAUCACCUUUUGUUUCAGCAUAUGGUUUCUCUCCAACUACCACAAUGCCAUAUGAAAAAUUAUUAGACUUCACAUAGUCCAAAUCAGGAUUCUCCUUGUACACUACCUCAGUAUCUUUAUCAACCGUGUUUUUGAUAGCACUGAGGAUUGUUGUACCUGUAAAUCACAUAGGCCUUGUUAAUAUUGUACUUUUAUCAAACUAUACAAAAGGGAAAGAUGUUUUCAGGAAUCUAUAAUAUACCUUUGGUGACAUUAUUUCCAGUAACUCCUUGCCAUUCGAUGGUCCAACCACCACAUUGAUAUCCUAGAUUAUCAGCAUGGCUUCCAGCAACUAGUACCUUUGAAGCCCUUUUAGGAAGAGGGAGAACUGGUUGUUUAGGGUUUUCACCAUUCUUCAAUAAAACCAAGGAUUUCCUCACAGCUUCCCGAGCCAAUUCUCUAUGUUUCUAUCAAGGUACAUUGUCAAAUCGAUUUUAUCAACAUAUAUGCAAAAACAUAGUUGGUGGGUAAACAAUAUACAGAUGUUUCACUACUAACAAACCUUCCUCCCAAGAUGGUGAACUAGGUUAUAAUCAGCCAACGGAUUCUCAAAAAGGCCUGCAACAAACUUUACCCUUAAAAUUCUCCUUACUGCAUCAUUAAUUCGGCUCAUUGGUAUGGCAUUACUUUUCACCAAUAAGGUUAAGCCAUCUAUGAAUUCUGUGUAAUUAAAGGGAACCAUUACCUAUAACAUUACCAAAGCAAGUCUUAGAAGAUGAUACAAGGUAAAUGAAAAACCAUUCAAGUUUGUACUUUAAACUCAUACUUUACCAUGUCAAUUCCAGCAGUGAUUGCAGCAUAAAUGGAAUAUGUGUAGUUAGCAUGAGGAGGUGUAGUGAUCUUAUCAAUCCCCUUCCAAUCUGAUAUGACAAAACCCUAGAAAAAACCAACAAAAUUUAGGGCUCGUUUACUAUGUCAAUUUGCUAUUUUGAAUUAAAUGAAGCCUUGAGAAGUUGAGUGUUACCCUAAAGCGUAAUGAGUUUUUGAGAAAGUCUGUGAUUAGAUUACGAUUGGCAUGCAUCUUUUCUCCAUUCCAGCUUGAAUAAGAGACCAUGACAGUGGAAACACCCUUGAUGAUUGCAUUAUAAUAGGCUGGCAUGUGAAUGCUAAGCAAUCCAUGUCUGCUUAUCACUGUGUUGUUCUCAUUGAUUCCCUUUAUAGUUCCUCCAUCCCCAACAUAAUGCUUUGCAGAGGCUAUAACUUUUCGCCUAUGCAAACAAAUGACAGUAUAUGUUAAUACCAACACCUAGAAAAGCUUAUCACAGAGAGAAACAAAGGGGAUAAUGAAGUUCUUACUUUCCAGCAACAUAUGGAACACCCUUUUGGGAGUUUGCUGGGAUAUCACCUUGUAGACCUGGAAUGAUCUCAGUCAUAGCUUGAACUACUUUAUGGUCUUCACUAUAACUUUCAUAACAUCUUCCCCACCUGGGAUCUCUACAAACCUAUACCUCAUAUCAUAUUAAGAUAAGGUUAUAAUUGAGGCCAAAUGAAUAUUAUCAUUAGAUGUUGAUGAUAAAAUUAUUUAGUAGAAUGUUCUUAGUUACCGCUAUGCAAGGUGCAAAAACAUAUUGAAUUCCAGUAGCUCUAACUUCCAGAGCAGUUGCUGCUCCAAUUCUCCUCACUAGUUUAGGAUCUCUGUUUAUUUAUAAAUAAACUUCAUCAAGAUACAUAAGUAUAGUAUUAAUUUUUGAAUAACACUAGUAACUAUUCUCUCUCACACUUUUAUAGUAAGAUAAUUUAUUUGCUUCCAAAAAUUUAGGAAAAUGAUAUUUUUUAACACCAUUUUGACACCAUUUUGACACUGUACACAUGUCAAAAUGUGGUUGGACGAUUUCAAAUUAAAAAAAGUUGAGGAAAGAACAUAUUUGGAAGAGAAAAACUAAUUUUUUUUUUUUUUAAUUUGAAAUCAUCCAACUAUAUUUUAACGCGUAUGUAGUGUCAAAAUGGUAUCAAAAUAUAUUUUUGAAAAAUUUAUAACCAAAAAAGUAUAAAUAGUAGACAACUAUUGUACGGUUGAAAGUUUUGUUUUGAAAGAAAUGUGUCUCAAUACUUAGAAAAAAUUUGGAUAAAAAGAAUAUGCGGUGGAUAAAAGAAAUAGAAAAAAUAUUUUAAGUGUUAACAUGUGAUAUAAUUAUAAUUUACAAAAAAUAUUUACAAAUCAAAUAGAAAAUAUUUACAAAAAUUAUAAAAUUUACAAAUCAAAUAGAUUAACUCUAUUUAAUUUGCAAAUAGAUAUUUUUCUAAAAAAGUCUUCGUUUUAAUUAAGAGCUGCUUUUACUAACCUAUAGAUAUUUUUUUACACUUACCUAGAUGCAAAGAAAGAACUUUGAAUUUGACAAAAAGUAUGAAUGCAUAAGAUAGAGAUAGUUUACCUGGUAGCACCUAACCCAACAUUGUGAGGAAAAAUUGUUGCAUUAUAUACAUUAUUAUUGCCAUGAACAGCAUCUAUCCCAUAUAUCAUAGGAAUUCCCAAUCUAGUUGAUAAAGAACCUUUUUGAAAAUCAUUCACCAUUUUUAUCCAAUCCUCUGCAGAAGCUUGUGGCUUUGGAACACUGCUUCCCCCACUUAGCACACUCCCUACCAAAACCACAAACCAUAUAACAAAAUAAUUAAAUCAAAAUACCCAACAAAUAAUACAUAUGGUUAAGAUAAACUUUAACUUGACUUUAAUUCAAUCUCCAUAAACUAACGUGUAAGGUAAGAUUUACAUAAUAAUUUUUUCAUUCAAAAAGUUGAGCUUACCAAUAUAAUAGUUGUUCAUGAUUUCUGCAGAAGCAACUUUACGUUCAAUCUGUGUCAUCUGACCAAUUUUCUCCUCUAAAGUCAUUCUGUCCAUGAGAUCCUUGAUUCGAACAUUCAGAGGUUGUUUUGGAUCUUUAUAUUUCAAAUACUUUGCUUCAUUUGUGGCAACACAACAAUGCAAGAGCAUAAGUAGCCCCAUCAGAAAGAUUCUGACUUUCGCCAUUCUUUUUUCUUCUUCUCAGUGCAACUUCACACCCAGAGAGAUUAGAACUAGGUUGAGGUCAGUGUUACAAUCAUGAAAACGCAAACAGAAAGAAAUCAAUCCCAAUGGAAAGUUGUAGAUAUGAAGAACACAAACAAAACAAAAGCAAAAUACAAUCUAACUGUAAAGGAAAGUGAAAAGACAAACAUAGAAGAAGAAGAAAACCUUGUUCUUAGUGUGCAACUUUGUGUGAAUAUCUAGAGAGAAACUAAGGUAAUACUGCUCUUGUUUUGUAACUUCUUCAGUCUUCCUUAAGGUAACAUUAAUUAGAAAACAAAACAUUAUAGAGAUAAAAUAAGUAUAAGAUCUUACCUUUUUUUUAACUUUAGUUUUUCAAUUCCACAUUUCUAUUUUUUAUUAAAUUAGAGUAAUUUUACUACAUAUAUCGGUUUAAUUCUCACCCUUUUUAAUAAUUUGAUUUACUUUUUAUAUUUUUUAAAAUUACGUAUUUGUGUGAGUUUCCGCUUGUAACUACCACUAAAAGUUCAAGAGCAUAGACGACUCUAUAUGUUCUCUUCUCCUUUUCUUCACAACAAUAAAAAAAUAUAUGCAAUUAAAAUUAAUUAUUAUAUUACUUAUUAUAAUGAAGAAAUGGUUAUUAAAUUUAUACUGAAAUUAUAAAAAAAAACAUGUUCAUGAAAAAUUAUAUUUUGUUAAUUUCAUAAUAUAUAAUAAGAAUAGUUGUAAAUUUUUAAUACGGUAGUUCUUUUUAAAAAUAAAAUUCUCUAUUAAUAAGGAUAUAAAUGAUAAAAUAAUAUGUAAAGAAAUAAUUAUAAAACAAAAUAUAUAAUAUACAGUUAUAUAGAUCGUAUAUUGGAUGUUAGUCAUAUUAUACUUUACUACUAUGCUAUACUAUACUAUUAUAUAUGCUAUGCUAUACUAUACUAUACUAUACUAUACUAUUCUAUACUAUGCUAUACUAUAUGUUAGUAUGUGUUUGAUUAUAGUGUGGGGAAAUGGAUAACAAACUCCUCAAUUUUUUUUUUUAAUAAAACCUCCACCACAAUUACACAAUCAAAACUCAGCAUCAAGCUAUUAUAACUUGGAGAAAAAUAAAAUAAAAUAUAUAUAUAUAUAUAUAAAUAGAGAGAGAAAGAGAGAGAGGUAUAUAACUCUCACUAUCAGUAGUUUUUAAUGCAAUAUUUAUAUUAUUAAUUGUUUUUAGUUAAACAAAUCUAUCUAAUGUUUCUCAUAUAUCCAUUCUCUUUUAAAACAAAAUGAUAUAAAGUUUUAAAAUCAAAUAUCACGAGACGAAAAUUAUUAUAUAACGUUUAUUUUGGUUAAAUAUUCUUAAGUAUCUUUAUUUUAAUUUAAUUUUUGGAAUUUAAUUAAGUUUGCUCUAAUUCUAUUUCAGGAUGUUGUAUUAAUUUGUAAGGAAUCUAAUUCCAAAAAUCUGAUAAGAUGCAGUUGCCUUUAUAACACUCCGUAUUAAUAGAAUUUAUUUACUAAUUAUUGGUAUAUUAAGUAUAAAAACUACAUAAGCAUGUUUCAUGAAAAUUUUCAAAAUCAUUAUAUUUAAACGAAAGUAAUAACAUAAGUAUUUUUUAUUAUCUAUACCUGCCUAUUUCAUUAUUGAUAUCUCUCACUUAUAAUAUUUUUUGUUCAUAUAUAAUAUAUAAUCAUGGUAAAUAAAUAAAAUCAUAAUAGACAAAAAAAAACAAGGAUAAGUUACAAUUAGUUAAGAUUAUACUAAUAGUUAUAUAUUAUAGUCCUAAUAAAAUAUAUAUAUAAUUAUAUUCACACAUCAACUUCAUAAUACAAAUAAAGAAAUAUUACAAUCAUAAAGGCAUUUGUGGAACUUCCAUACUCACCAUACAUAACCUCUUAAUGACUUAAUGUAUUGAUUAGAAUCUCGAACCUGCACAUGUUAUAGUCACCCUCACCUUUCAAGGGCUUCAUCAUUUCAUGGCCACAUCUCACACCAUGGAGUAUAACAAGGUAAAUCACCUCAUUUUUAGAUUUAACCCUCAAUGUUAAAUCUACUCAUGACAACCUCCUUCAAAUUUCAUCCUAAGUAUCUUCCUCUACAUGUCCAAUACUUAUGAGUUAGGAUAGUCUCACUUCAAACUUUGACAUUAAUGCAAUCCACAUAUAAUCCAAAUUCUAAUAUUCCCACUCUAGGAAUCACUACUCUCUCAUUCCACAUUAUUCAUAUAAAACCAAAGUAAAAUACAACUACUUCAAAGUACAAACACAAUUCACACAUAGUUCAUACAUCACAUUCUCAUACGAUCUUAAAUAAUCACACCAUGUCAUACAUACGCAAUUUUAACCCAACCUAAACUCUUCACAUAGCAUAAAAUCACUUAUUAUUUAUUUUAAUUGAAAUGUUAAUAAUUCAUUAUUUAUUUUCUAUUGCAUUAGCAUAAUAUUCAAAUACAACAUUACUAAUAAUCAUAUAAAAAAAAUUAUAACCACAGACCUCUAAUCAAAGCUCUCAAUAGUCAAAGUGAAGAUUGAUAUAUCUAGUACCAGUUCUCAAAACUUCAACUUAAUCAAAUGGUUAACCAAACGAAAAUCAAAAUUUUACCAAGAUUAAAAUAAAGCGGUGCUCAACACCCCACACUUGGAGUCUAACGCCAAAUGUGUGUGUGUGUGUGUGUGUGUGUGUAUAUACAUAUAUAUAUAUAUAUAUAUAUAUAUAUAUAUAUAUGUAUAUAAUAAAUUGGUCUUAUCUCUAGUCGAUGUGGGACUUUCAACACACCUCAUUCACACCGAGGUAUAGACAUCUCAUGCGUGAUAGUACAAAUUAGGUGGUCCAAUAGUGGCCCGACAACGGGUGGAAUAGAAAUGCCCAAGAAACAAGAAAUAUCGCUAGGAUAGGCUUUAAACCAUGGCUCUGAUACCAUAUUAGAAAGUGAGUCUAAGCCUAACUCAACCCCACAAAACUAGCUUGUAAGGUAAGGUUUACACCUCACUUAUAUAUUAUAAAUUGGUCUUAUCUCUAGUCGAUGUGGGACUUCCAACAACUCAUUGUAGACUUUGCAAAUAAAGUUGAUUGAGUAUCUUGGGAACCAUUUUUUUUUACAAUAUCCAGUAGUACACAUAUUGAUGUCAUAUUUAGGUUUCAUAUUACCUAUGCCUAAUUGUCAUUUUAACUAUAAUGUCAAUUUUUUUAAAAUGAUUUAAAAUGACAUCAAAUUUCUAUGAAAUAGACAACUCAAUUACAAAUCAUAAGACAACAACAUAUUAGAAACCCUCAAUCUCGUCUACCCAACAAGAAUUUCACUAAGUGAGAAAUCAUGACUAUAUCUCAGGAUGCAAUCACAAUGUUCACUAUCAAAACUUACAUGUAUAACCCAAUCAAACUUUUCAUCAAUGUUCGUCAAAAGAUAUUUAAAUGAAAAUGCUACAUUAUGUUGCAGUCUUAAGACAAUGUUUAAAUUAUAGAACGCACGCUCAAUCCUGCUUAUAACUAAACAGACAAUUAAGUAGAACUAAGAACUUUUACAUAUAUGUUAGAAUUAAUUAACGAGUAAAAAAGUGCAUAUUUUAUAUUGUAUUAUCCAAAUACAUAACCUUGUAUGCCCAUGACUUAACAAAAUUUCCCUUGUGUAGAAUGAUCUAUACAUUACUCACAUAUUCAAAAAAUAGUGAUCAUGGUAUGCAAACAACUUCAAAAUGUUUUAGACACCUAGCAAAUGAAUAACAAUUUUCACAAUCUAUCACAGUUCUCCAUGCAUUCGUAAUAAGUUUUCAUGCCUUCACAAAAUCAACUAAAAUUUUACACUUUGCUUUAACGUUCUUAUUAACGUGGAAUUGACACAAAUAGUUCAAAAGCUCCAGAAAAGACAAUAUUGAUUAAAGUCUUUGUCUUUAUAACAAUAAUUUUAGGGAGCACAUCUAAUUUAGAAAACAACCCUCUAAGUCUUUCUAGAAUCCAUAUAAACUUGGUUUCUCAUUCACUUCCUAUAUAACAUCACGAAACCAAUAAAGAAAGUUAAUUUGUUGACAUCACAUAUCUUCUCUCAAGCAAUGCAACUUAUCUUUGUUGGUUUUAUAAUUGUUGUCCAUCAAUAAUACAAAGCUAAAUGUAUUGAACAAUUUAAAUGAAUCGAACAAUUUAAAUGAAUCGUGAUGUUUCCAAAAGUGUCGCUUAUAAUUUGUGCAAACUCAUUACACCUACUUUAUUAAUUAUACUUGUCAUGUUCUAGCAACAUGUUGCAUUUCAGUUUUAGACCCUCUUAGUGAUAUCUUGUAUGCAUAUCUUUCAUUGAACAAUUACUUUACUAUUGUGACAUUGUCCUUAUUAUUUGUUUUAAAGUAAUAUAUUUGUCGACUUCACUAGAAUUUUUGUCAUGUCAACAACCAUGGAAUGCCCAUAGCAACUUAUGAGUGACUAAUAAAUGUCUUAGUCAAUUCAUAACCCAAAAGUAUAAUCACAUUUUUUUUACCAAUUAUAAUUGUCUCCAAAUCAUGUUUGUAUUUUUUAUGCUUAUCACCUUUAACAACUGAACAAGAUAUAUAUCUUUAUUUUCUAUUAUUCAUUAAUUUUAUCAAACCUCAAUAUCAUAAUCAUAAAAUCAAGUUCAAAUAUCACCCUAUACAGCUACUGAAAUAAGUCAUCAUAUAUACCAAAUACUUUUACAAAUAAAUCACAACAUAGUUACAUCAAAUGUCAGAUUUAUUAUAAAAUUCAAUAAAACAUAUAUAUGCUCAAUCUAUUAUAAAAGAUGUAACAUAAUCUCCUCUAACUACUUCAUUCAUUAUUUCAAAUCCUUAUAUAUCUAAUAAUUUAUCUACUUUAUUAAAAAUUAUGAUCUAAUAUUGAGAUUUCAUCUUUAAAUUCAACCAUGCAUCACCUUAUAAAAAAAGAAAUAAAAUGUUUGUAAAGUUUUAAAAAACUAAAUUUUGUAUCUCUAGAAUACAAUGUACAUUUUAGAAUAUAAAAUUUUAUAUUUUACAUAAUAUUCCAAAAUGAAAAUUUUCUGAAAUACAAAAUUUAUAUUUAAAAUGCACAAUUUGAAAUGUGUGAAAAAAAAAUAUAUAUAAGUCUCCAUAAUGCACAAUCCGAAAGUUAAACAAAAGGAAAACCAUAAACUCACCUAUGGAACGCUGCCACUUCCCAAGAAGACCACCUUUAAUCACCACCACUAAACUCUACCAACCACCAAUAAUCACUACUAAUAAAUCACAUUAACAACACUUUAACACUCCCACUUCUUAUAACUUUUACCAUAAGGCUAAUUUAGUAAUUUUGAUAGUUUCAAACUUACAACAGUUCAUGUAGAAAGCAAGAUGGUGCAGGAAGCAAUUGCCUAGAUACAAUUACCAAAAAUAAUAUAUAUAUAUAUAUAUAUAUAUAUAUAUAUAUAUAUAUAUAUAUAUAUAUAUAUAUAAAAUAUACACACACUUUGGGCCUUCUAUACGGUCCUCCUCUUUAACCAAUCUAGCCCAAGAGUUAACAAUUAUAUGAAGAUUAUUUUUUUCCAUGUUUAUUUUUUUAUCUCGGCAAAUGUUAAAAUUCCUAUGUUAUUCUUGUUGUACAUAAAUUUUCGCACCUUUACAUUUAUCUGGUGGAAGAUAGGAAGAGUAGAGAGAAGAAAUACAGUUAGAGAUGUGCAAGAAUAAUUUUGUCUUUUUACAUACUCCUACGGGGUGCAAAAAGAAAUCCAGUUGUAGGAAAAAGCACUCUCCUUCCUCCAAACGGUGAUGUUGAUAACAGAUAAACUUUGUUUCAGUGAUCAUUAUCCACAUCACUUCACAUCAACCAUGGCUGCCUCAUCCACCAUCAACAACUUCCUCUCUUUCUUCUUACCCACAAAACCUCCGCCACCCUCUACACCGCCGCCGAUCCAAUUCAACCCCACCACUUCUUCUUCCACUCACAAACCCUCACAACUCCUAAUUGCGCAAUAUGACCCUUCUUCUUCUUCUACUUCUUCUUCUUCUUCUUCUUCUUCUUCUUCUUCUUGCUCUGAAUUGUCCUCUGUGAUAUGCCCCUCCAUGGCGUACACGAACACGCUCUUCUUCCAGUCAGCGUACAACGUGCAGGUGGUGGUGGCCGAGGACGAGCCCGAGGAGCGCCUCCUCAACAGGUUCCGCAGAGAGGUGUUGAAGGCCGGUGUCAUUCAGGAGUGUAGGCGGAGGAGGUACUUCGAGAACAAACAGGAAGAGAAAAAACGCAAGUCGCGUGAGGCUGCCAAACGUAACCGCAAAAGGUAGUCCCUUCCUUUUUUUCAUGUCAUUGCUGCAAUGUUAUGCAAGAAGUGCUUGGUAGAUUAGAAACACAAAAAUAAAAUUUGAUUUCUCCAAAUUAGUUUGUGCAUGAGUUAUUCGAGUUAUGUCAUUUGUCUUGGAAGAGAGGGAAUAAACCUUGAAAGGAUUUGCUACAAAAUUCACCCCAUAAAAGGCUCCCCAAAUGUUAAUAUAGGCCAUUCUGUGGAUUUGGACACCAUCAAUAUAGUGGAGACUUAUAGCUACAUUGAAGUGUGACAUAUGGAAGUACAUAUCUAUUCACUAGUCUAUUUUUUUUUUUUUUUUUUUAUGAUUGUAUCUAAAAUGAACAGAACUUGUAGUAUUAGUGUGUAUAUACAUCGAAGUGUAGAUUUUGUGAGAAGAGGAAGAGUUCUAUGAAAUUUCCCCACUAGAUACUUUAAGUCAGGCAAUGAAGGUUACGUGAAUGUCAUGUGCAAUAGGGAGGUUUCUGCCUGAGGGCCAUUAUAGUGAUUUCAAACGAAACUAAGUUUAUCUAAAUUUUGCAAUGUAGAGCAUAACCUAAGAAACUGACAUUAUUAAAGUGCAGAAAACUAAAGUGCAAUGAAUUAAAGGGCAAGAACAUUAAAGAACAAGAAAAUUAAAUUGCAAGAACAUUAAAGUAAUUGCAAAAAAUAUAAACAAAUCAACUUCAAAUUCAAGAACAAAACAAAACAGACUGAAAAUCUUUUGAUGUUGAUUUGAUCUUGAUUCUGUAAGUUGAUCUUCAGAGAAUUGUAAAAAACCUAAAGAAAGAGGAGAGAAAAGAAAAAAACUAAAAACUCUUAAACUUUGCAAUUGAUUUCUCUGUGUAGCUUUUAGCACAUUAGAGGUCUUAUAUGGCCUCUGAAAUCUGAAGCUAAAGUGGGCCUAAUCUGAGCUCUAAUUAAGCUCUUAACCCCAACUACAAAAGGUCACCCAAUACAAAGAAAUACCUAAUCCAGGUUUUGUUUACAAUUUUUCAGCAAAUUUGUCCCAGCUUUUAAAAAGUGGAAAUGAGCUAAAAACAGAAAUAAAGCAUUUCGAAAGUAUAUCACUAUACAAUAAAGUUAUAAAAGGUGUGUACAACAUAAGUAUUAUCAGCCGUGUGACCUAUGAAAUUAAGUCUAGAAAAUAGUGUACUUCUUCACACAGGUUAUUCAUUUAUCUUUCUUAUGUACCAAUUGAGAUGAUAGUCUAAUGCACAAGACAGCCCUCUUUCUUUUCCUGAAGUGUCAUAUCCAUUCAUACACCAUUGAGAGAAUGAUGCUUGUUCCCUUUCAAUGUUAUGGAGCUUUUUACUGUCCAAUGUUGUCUGCGGUUGGUUGAAUGGUGUAAAUUUCUUUUGCUUAUUUGCUAUUUGCUGGCCUCUAGAAUGGAAUGGCUCACAAAUUUUAUUUUUGUGGUUAGAUAUAUCCAUUAGCAAAUAUUAGUUUAAUUUUGAUACUUUUUCUGGCUGACAACAUUUCAGGCGCCCCAUGUCAAAAACUGCUGUACAGAAAAAACUGGAUGUCCCAGCAACCAAGAGAGAAGAUGAGGAUAACUGGGAUCUACCUGAUGGAGAUACUCUGUAUUAAUGCUUUCAUCCCCGAAGUUCUGUAGCUUUCUUUGAUUUCACUGCAUGUAAGUUUUGUUGAGUAGAAUGUGCUCUUGGGUGGAUUUUCUAUGGCGUUGAAUUUAAUAUUAUGUAACUUUGUGCAUCCUUAUUCAGUUCACUGUUUGGCAAUUUGGGAAGACAAAAAAUAGUUUUAAAAAUUACGAAGUUGCUGGUAAUAACUUUAUAAGAAAAAUAUUAGAAAAGCCUUUUCUAAAGAAUAACAUUUUACUCAAAAUAUUAGAAAAACCUUUUCUAAAGUUCAUUACGCACAUGGAUGUAUUUCUAUUAUAUGACUUAACCUUGUGUAUGUAUAAUUUCUAAAACACUCAAAUACAUUAAUUUAAAUUUAUUUUAUUUUAAAUUAUUUUAUUUGGAUAAGACAAUUCAAAUUUAGUAAAUUUAAGUUUUAUAUGUAUAAAAUAUUUUAAUUAAUAUCAAAUUAAAAUAUUUGAUUUAAAUGUCAAAUAAUUGUUAAAAAAUCAAAAAAUUAAAUAUUCAUAAUCUUUUUGUCAUUCAAUGCCCACAGUAAUUGUUUUAUUUGAGUACAGUUAUAUAGGUUGAUAUUAAUCAAGGUUAUUUCAUGAUGUUGACACUUGAGAGGGUUUUUUGCCAAUUUUUUUUAUUGACGUCUGAUUAUAAAUUUUCCUAAUAAACAUUGGUAAACACUAGAAAAUAAAUCUAAGAAAAUUAUUGACAAAAUAACAUUCCUAUUGAUGAUAAAAAUAAAUAAAAAUAUUGGAGACAUCGACAACAAUAAAAAAAAUCUCAAGUGACGUUUAUUGAAAAAAAAAAUCUAAUUUACAUUUAUAAAAGAAAAGUCUUCCUGAGAUGUUGAGAAAAACUUUAAUUAAUAUUGAGCAAGGAAUAACACGUACAAUAAAAUAAAAAUCUAACAACUUAAAUUACAAAAAAAAAAAAGAAAAAAGAAAAAACUCCUAUUAACAUCAAUAAAAAUAUUAUAGUCGAUAUCAAUUAAAAUAUAGCCAUAUUGACAAUGUCCCAGUCUUAUUUAAGUUGAUGACACUCUGUCUAAAAUUGAUAUAAGAUCUCAAUCUUAUUAUGUUCAUGACACUCUGGCUAAAAUUGAUAAAAGAAGAAACUAUAAAAAACAAAACAAAAAUUUGAUUGAUAUAAGAAGAAACUUUAUAAAGCAAAACAUAAAUUUGAGAAAGCGAAGGUUUUCAAAUUUUUACCUUUUAGAUGGAAUUUGAAAUCCCUAUCUAAAUUUAAGAAUUCAUUUGCUCAAAUUAUAUUUUUAAUUUCUUUCACAAUUUCUUACUCAAACAUUUAAUUUCUUUUACAAUUUCUUACUUAAACUCUAUAUUUUAUCGUAAAACAUUUAAUAUUCUUUACAAAAAAAAUAACUCGUGAAAAUAAGAAAAUAACACAGGAACGGAUGAUUGAAUUAUGUUUUAAAAUUUUCAUAAUUUUUGCUUGUAUCGUUUAUGGAAACAAUAUUGGAUGACACGAAGAUGUACUUAAAUAGUGUAUAAAAUGAUUUUGUUAAGUUUAGUUUUAAAAUUUUUCUUCAAUACUGAAUAUUUUUACAUUGGUUCAUUUGAACAUAUAAAUUAUGUUCAAUUAUUGACCAUAAUUAAUCUUUCCCAAAUCAUUUUUGUUCAAAAAAGUAUUCUUUCAAAGCCACUCCUAAUUAAUACGAGUAUUUUUUUAGUUUUUAAAAACUCCUAGCUGACCCAUUCAAAUAUUCUUUUUAAGUUAUUUUUGUCUCAAUAGAACAUAUUUUAUACAUACAUUUAUAGUUUUUUAAUACAACACUUGUCAUUUGCUUUAUUUAAAUUUUUUUAGUUUAUUUUCUUGCAUUAGUAAUAAAUUAGGUUAUCAUGCAUAUGAUUUCUUUAAUUUUAUAUUUUUAGCUAAUUUGACCUUUAUUUGUAGAUAUCACUUUUAGCUUAUUCUAGUAGCAUUAAGUUCUACACUUCUAAGGCUUCAAAUGGAUUUGGAUCCUAUGUUACUUUUUUCAAUUUUUGUAAGUUAAGGCAGAUUUUCUGAAAAUUGUAAAGAGAACCCUAUGGAUUUGAUCUUUGCUUCUUUUAUUUUACAUGUUUUUAACUUUUAGACCUAAUUAGAGCUCAAAUUAGGAAAUUAGGUCAAAUGCUUCCGUUUUCAAAGCCUAAAUAAAGCCUAAUUAUGCUUAAAACAAGACUCAUAAAACUCAUUGGCUUAGUUUUUGGAAAUUUAGAAUUCCUUCUUUUCUCUCAUUUUUUUCUUGAUUUUUAUUCUCCUUUUCACUACAUUGUUUUCUUCCCUAAUGGAUAACUAAAUAUAUGAAGAUGAAUUUACAGAAUUAAUAUCAAAUAAACUAAAUUGAGUUUUGAUUCGAUCCUUCUUUACUCCCAUUUUGUUCUUCUCUAAUUGAAUUUUGGUUUUUCUUUGUGAUAUCAAAUUGAAUUUCUGAUUUUAGAAUCAAAUUAGAAUCAAUUGAAUCUUAAUUUGAUAGUUAAGUACACAUUGGAUUGAAUAAUAUUAAAAUUUAAAUCAUAUAAAUAAGUUUAGUCGAAUGAACUCCAAAUGAUCUGAAAAUUUGUUGGAAGGAUAAAAAAAUUAUGAAAACCCUUCAAAAAAAUUUCAACUCAAAAUUCAAAGUCUAACUAUUUUAAAUACUUUUGCAAAAUUUGAAAAAAAAAAAAAAAUAAAUUAACAAAAAAUAGAAAAUGACCUUUUUUUUUGGAAAAUGUAGGAUUAGCUAUGUCGGCUACCAUGAUAUCGAGAAUUUUUUUUGUAUCCUAAAUCGAUGUAUGAUAUUGCCAAAAACUGCCAAUUGGAUCAAAAGUUAGAGUUAUUUAAAGAUCUGCAAUCCAAAUAAUUUUUAAACUUCUUAUUCACCCAAAAUAAGGAUCCUCAGAUUAUUUUCCCUGAAAUAGGAGUUCCUAGGAGUGGUUAAAAAAAUUUUCAAUAAAAAAUAAUAACUAUAGCUAUCAAAACAAAAAAAUUAUAAGUAAAUAGUUAAUACUGGAUAUAUGUAUUUUUGUGUUGUGGAUACUCGUUUUUAUAUAUAGGUUUGUUUUUGUUUCUGUGAUAUGGAAUGCUUAUAGAAAUAGAACAAUCAAUUUUUUAAAAACAAGACAGACUUUAAAAAAAGGUUGUGAUAAAAAUGAGGCAGAAAAUGGUAUAUUGUCUCGGUUCUGGUUCCAACAGAGACAAUAGACCUUUUAAAUUAAUUAAUUUUAAGAGUAUAUGGCAACAGUUUCUCAAAUAACAUAGGUCAUAAACCCAAUUUUUUUCUUUUUUUGGUUUACUGUUUCGAUUUUUUUAAACCACGGAAAAAUCAUGACCUUUUUUGCUUCAGUUAUUUUGAAUCAAGGUCAAAAACCAUUGUCAUAACCUCAAAAUAACCUUUGUCAUAUCAAUUCAUUGCACUAGUGUAGGUUGGAACAUCACUCAAUGAUGGAUCCCUGUUCUCCUCUUUGCAACAAAAUCUUCAAGGGGAAUUGGAAAAUUAUUAAACUCUCCAAGCUUCUAAAAUGAAAAAUGUUGCUUUUCCAAGGAUCUUUAAAGAACUAGAUGAAGAUUAUUCCUACAUACCUUAUGUACAAGAAUAAAGCAUUUAAGCAUAACUCAUAAUUUUCCAUAGGUUCUUCUCCUUGAUCAUUUUGUUUGGAAUCACUUGAUCGAAGUACCUACAAAAUUUUCCAUCAUAACUCAUAAUUUUGUAGCAAAAUGCUUCUUCUCCUUAUUAUGAGAAUUCCUUCCAUGCUUCAAGUUCUUCUUCUAUGCUCUUCUUAUGUUAUAGAUGCAAGACUCAAUUAGAGGUCCGAUUAGAGGCCCAAUUAAGAUUUAACACUAACCCAGUUAUAACUUUAAAAAAUCUUAAAAAUUACAAAGACAUUAGAAACUAUACAAUUCUACAAGACUAAAAUUUUUUCUUAGUGUUCUAUUCAACAUAGAAGCGUCUUGAUGAGUGAAUAUUCAUCUUUUUCUAUCAUUUUAGCAGCCAUGGGUUUUGUGUUGGAUAGUUUCCAUUACUUAAACUGCUUCUCCAAAUAGUACUAGUGCCAAUAGUCUCAAUAGAAACUAAGACACUAUGCUUAAUGAUUCAGAAAUCUUAUUAAAAUUUUAGUGGAUGAAUCUUCAGACUAAUUUUCUAGUAAAUGGACUAUCAAACAACAGAAAAUUCUGGUCAGUAUUAGAAGAAGGUGCAUGUUACCACUAGAUCAUCCAUAAAAUAAACAAUGAUUUGUGAGCCAAUAUCAGCAUGAUUCAUAGUUUAAAGAGAUAAUCUAGUUGUUAAUUUAUUGGCGGCUUAGUGCUAACAAUGAAGUAUUUUACUUAUAUCAUAACUGAAUUAUACGUUGGAUUUAUUCAGAGAUUUACUAGAAAGAUACAAACACUAACGAGGAAUUGACAUCACUUUCUAUACAAAACUUUAAAACAAAGAAUUAAUAGAUCUUUCACCUUUAUAUAAUGUUCUAUUUUCUUAUUUUUAUCUAAAAUGAGACCUAAACUUACAUUUGGAUUCCUAACACUAUAUUUCAAUACACUUAGAAAAUUCCCAGAACUGUUCAUAAUAGGCUGUAACACUGUAGUGUGGUUCAAAUGUUUUGGUGCGAACAAGUCUUAGCCAGAUAGGACUUAAUUGUCUGAAUUUUGUACCUUAGAUCUGAACCAAGCACCAAAAGCCUGAAUUCAUGGCACAAUUCAUGAUAACUCCAAAACGCAACACAUGAUCCAACACCACAACAUUUGGACGCGAAGAAUAGACAAAACUUGAGUUGUCGCUAUUUGUGGUUAUUGUUUGAGGUGGCAAGUCUAUGGUUUUGGAUCAUGUUUGGUUGAAUAAAGUAUUUGUAAUUUAUGUCAAAUAUAUAUCCAAACAAAACAGCCUUUGAAGAAGUGAAGAGCCAACAUAGUUUUGCAUCCUUGAUCUUAACAUUUCUUCCAUCUCAGCAACACUGUUCACCUUACACAUGUCUUCUCUGAGUUAUUUUUAUAUGGCCCAGCACUGUCUUACAGAUAGCAUAAUUAAUGCAUAUAUGAAUAUUAUAAGGUGAAUGAAUCAAAAUGGAAAUGGAGUUGGUUCAUCCCUUUUAUGGAACCAAAGAACCAAUCAUAAAUUCUUUGUUUAUAUUAGAAAAUGAUUCUACAACCAUGAUGCGGAUUGUUUGAUGUUCUAAUUGAAAGUGUAUUUAAUUCAGUUUGUUUUAUAAAAUAUAAUUUGUUUUUAAAUAUAAUUAUUGUCAAAUGAAAGUUUAAGUAAAUCAUAAUCAACAUAUUACCUCCUUUCCUGAGAUGAUUUAUAUAUAUAUAUAUAUAUAUAUAUAUAUAUAUAUAUAUAUAUAUAUAUAUAUAUAUAUAUAUAUAUAUGUGUGAAAGUGUUAAGGUAUUUGAGUAUUGGUCAAAGAGUCAAAAUAUUUUUAGUUAGUAGUUUAUUAAAUAAUAUUAAUAAACAAUUAGCAUUGGAUAUUAGAACUCUUCGUUUACAAGUUAUAUAGAAUUAUUAAUAGUAAUUUAAUUUCAGAGAUCGUAGGUUAAGUUAUAAAUUUGAUAAUAUUGAAGUGCAUUCAACAUAUAGGUCGUUUUAGAAUACUUAAAAGCAAAGUGUUUUUGUUAACAAAAUAUUGUGAAAUUUGGCAACUUCCAUUAUCUUUUAAAAUAAACAGCUUGACAACUUUGACUUUCUUAUAAUAGAAUUAAAGUGUAAACUAUCAAUAUUGAAACCCAAUUUAAGAAUAAAAAUAGCUAAAUCACCUCAUCAUUUGAAUAAAGUGCACACUAAGAAAUGAAAAAAAAUAUAUCUUAUUUGUAGAGGCCUAAAGGUCUAUAAAUAUAUUAUUUAUUAAAAAAAUUGCGUAAUUAUUUUUUUUACUUUCAUAUUAUUAUCAUUUUAUGCUUGUGAUGGAUAGAACGAUAUAAAUAAUAUUUUAGAAGUAAACAUUCGAAUGUCAUAAUUAUAAUUUAUAUAUCACGUGUCUACAUUCUAAUAAUUUUUAAAGUUCUUUACUAUUUUUUUUUUCUUUUAUGACUUUUAGAAGUUGAGAUACGCUGAAUUCUUUUAAAUAACCCUUGGAGAUUCAUUUUUGUUUGGUUUAACUUAAACAUUUGUAAUUGGACUUAAGAACCUAAUUAGAAUGCUCUUAGAAUCAUGCUUACUUCAAAUUUCAUAGCCAAUACAUGACAUAAAUGUGUUCUAAACUCUUGUACAUAGCUUGAGUUUUUAGUUUUAGAAAUUAACUAUAUCUCAUUUUCAAUAUUUUCUCUCAACUUUUUUUUACUGCUCCUCUUCUUUUCUCAUCGACAUUUUCUGUUCUUCGUCAAAAGAGAAUUAAUCUUUAAAGAUCAAUUCACAAAAUUAAGAUCAAUUAAUUCGAAUUUAGUUUUUGUUCUAAUCAUUGAACACUUUGAGUUUGUUUUCCUCUUUGAUUAUAAAUUGUAAAUUUGGUUUUAGAAAUCUUGAUUUGAUAAUUAGAUAUACAUUAUAUUAAAUUAUACUUUGAUUUGAUUUGUAUCACUGAUUUAACUGAAUAAUUAAAUUGGCCAAUUGUUCAAAUUUGAAUUUUUCAUCUUAACUUUAGUCAUUUUUAGGUUAAAGUUUCAUAAAGAGUUUUAUAAAGCAUAGAUAAUUCACUCAUUAUCAGACACAAUUCUAUAUUUAACUAUCAUAUCCAAAGUUACCAUGAUUUUGAUGAUAAAAAAUAAUAUCAAACUUGUUAGUGUGAAACAACAUAUAAAAUCCAACUAUUUAUAUGGUUUGAUGAAGGUAUUAAAAAAUGCACUUGAUAAAUUAUAAUAAAAGAAAUAGACAAUAUCUUAAGGUGUGUUAGACUAAAAAUUUCAAGACCAAAUGAAUCUCAAGGUGUGUUAGACAUAUGUUAUAAGUCCAAGAUGUUUUUUAUAUAGUAAGAUGGUGUUAAAACAUAAUAUCUCCAAGCACAUUCUGCAAGCAUGUUCAUCUUAUCCCAAGAAGUCUCAUGUUCUCUUAGCCAACUUGGAACCCAUGCGUUAGUUGAUAUAAGUACAUGAGUUAAUUAAUGAUUAGGACACUAAAAAGACAUUGACAAAAAAUUUGAAAGACUUUCAAUAAAGUUCAAUUGUUAGGUAGAGUUUACUAAGGGCAUUCAUAGUCAUUAAUAUUCUACAUUAUCAAAACAUGAAAAAAGGAACAAAAGAUCUUAGUUAAUUCAUAGAUAAAGGCUUAUAUAAAGGAGCUUAAUUGAGCAUUGCAAAUCAACUUCAAUGCAUUUAUUACACAAGUCUUUGAGUUUGUGAAAUAUGGAUUUUUGCUCUUUAACUAGAGAAUUUCUAGUCCUUUCUUGAUAUUAAGUUGGAUACUCUUUCCCUUGUAUUCUCUUGGUGGUAUUGUUUAGCUUAUCCAAAGUGCGAGAACUUGAAGAGAUCAAAUUAACCAUCCUUUCUUUAACUUCAAGAACAAGUUGUACCCUUUUGUAAGUGACUCAUUCUUUUCUUGUUUCCUUUGCUUUUUUAUUUUUGUUCUUCCUUUUUCUUUAUUUGAAGAACAACAUAGCCAUAUCUUAACCAAAGCCAACAUUCACCUGUAAAUCCUACCAAAUCACCACCAUAAAACCUUAGUAUUGUCUCCCCCAAACAUUUCAUGAUCAAAUCCACCUAAAAAAUCCAAUUUUCAACUUAUACACCAUAACAUAUCUUGAGAUAGCUUCAACAAAUUCUACAUGACUCUUAACUUUAAGAUUCUUCGAAUAUAUGUCAUAAUCCUUGCCCAACCUUCCAACCCAUUACCCUUUCAAGAUCACACAAUUUGUAAGCUUUCAGAAUGAAAGGAAGAGUAGAAGCAGAAAAGAGAAGAGAAGAAAAGACAAAAAGAACUUCAUUAGAUUACAUCGCCUAAUGCUCUUUAAUUUAAGAAGAAAUCUCAUGAGUUCACAAAUUGAUUUGUAUCUUCUUAAUCCUCUCUAUGAGAGUUUAUUCAAUUUGUAUUUGUAAUAAAAAAAACCAAGUGUGUUUGUAUUAAAAACACUCAUAUUACUCGUGUACUUGUCGGGUUAGACUAGAGAAAAAGGAGUUGUUGACAAUACUUAGAUCACAGGAAUGACCAUAAUACUCAAACACAAGGGAUAAGUAAACUUGGACUAGUCAAGAUUGACUAGGAGAACCAAUUGGAUUAGUUAGGAUUGACUAGGUGAACCAGGAGUGGUUUAUAAUACUUAGACUAGUCAAGAUUGACUAGGAAAACCAAAACUGGUUUAUAAUACUAAAACUAGUUAGGAUUGACUAGGGGACCAGGAGUGGUAAUAAUACUUGUAAUCAGGAGUAGGUUAGACUCAUUAUAAUAUCUGAUAAGAUUAAUGGAACCCCAUAAGAGUUCUUAAGGGAAAACAAGAUGUAGUUCAGACAGAGUAAACAUGUGUAAAAAUUGUGUUUUAUUGUUUUUCUUCCUUAAAAGCUUUUAGUAAGUUUUCUACAUCAUUGUCUAAAGAGUACCCUUAUUUGAUAAUCCUUUGAAAACUCAUUAUACACUUUUUGUGAAAAGUUAUAGAAAACACUAUAAGAGUCACUCACCUCCCUUCCUUGUCGUUAAAUGCAAUCCAGGUUGCCACUUUCGCUACCACUCCACUAUUCUCCUCCCUUCUUCGUUGUCCAUAUGCAUUGUGUCACAAUAAUUUUUUUUUUUUAAAAUAAGAAUAGACUUCAAUUAAAAAAAAAUCUAAAGUAAACUUAAAGUUUUAUAUUUUUUCCUAAUUGAAUAUGUUUAUCUUAAAUAAUUAAAAUAUAAUUUCCAAAAUAAUAUUAUUAUUAUUUAUUAUUAUUUAUUUUAUAAUCAUACUAAUUUAAGUAUUAAAAAUUUUCAGCAAAGAAACUUCCGUCAAUUAUUCAAUAAUUAUCAUGAGAGUUCAUUAAUCUAUAAUCCAUAACUAGUCGUCAAACUCGUUAUAUCCAGGUAAAAUCAUAUAAGUGAACGUAUAAUUUCUACGAUGGAAAUCUUAUAAUCACGUCUAACAAUAAGAAAGAAUUUUAACUUGGGCGUCCAUUACAGAAAAAAAAAAAAAAACAAUUUGUUGUUUUCAACAUUCUUAAAAAUGAAUGGGACAAAUCACACGGAUAUUACAAAAAGAAUAUAUUCAUUUCCGAAAUUGAAUAAAUAAUAGUUUUUCUUCCAUUUUGUCCACACAAAAGGAAUUAGCAUCUAUUUUCAUUAGCAACCUUUUUCUUUCUGCUCUUAUCUACCUCCUCACGUUUUCUCUCUCUCUCUCUCUAGUUUUCUUUAUCCUUACCCACUACGUUCUCCUACUUCCUUAGCUUUUUUUGACUUUUUCUUCCUCGAGCUUUUCUGCCACCCAAUGAUAAUAUAUAUAUAUAUAUAUAUAUAUAUAUAUAUAUAUAUAUAUAUAUAUAUAUAUAUACACAUCACACACACUAAAAUAAAUUAAAUUAAAUAAAAUUAAAUUAAAUUAGUUGGCUCAUGUAACAUGUUGUCGUAAAUUUGUCUCUUUUUAUUUGUCAUGUAUUCGUCUCUCUACACUAAUUACUCUCACAAAUGAUAAAAGAAACCAUACCAUCACUUACUUUUAAUAUGUACUUUCAAAUGCACAUUUUAUUAUCAAAAUAAAAGAAAAAAAAAUGAUUUAUUGAAUAGAAUGUGAAAGCUACAAAUAUAAUAAUUAUCAAUAAAUUGUAAUAUGUAAUAAAAUGUUUAAAUAUAUGUUUUGUGUGUAAUUAUUUUGCAAUUUUUGUCACUUAAUAACUCUUUUCUUAUUUAUUACGUUAUUAUUAUUUUUUUAAUUUUCACUUUUUGUAUAUGGGUAACAAGUGUUGAUGUGUCUUUAUAACGUGACCGUCGUUUUAUCUCUAACUUUGGCAAAAGAAUACAUUUCUUUCUAAUAAUAUGAUAAUAAAAUAUGUAAAAAUUUAAAACCCGAGAGUUGUGGAAAUGUGUAAAAAGUAAUAAGAAUUGAUAGAAAAAUAUGAAAAACAAAUAAAUAGAAAUAUUACACGAAAAAAAAUGAUAGUUAAGUUUCGAAAUGUAAAAUUGUAGAAUUUACUAAUAGCAUUUUUUCAUUUCGAUAUAACCCAUCCCAUCUAAAACUUUAUUGGUAUAAAAAUAGAGAGACAGAGGAAAGAAAAAAUAUAAAAAAAUAAAUAAUUGCAUAAAAGAGAAAUAUAGAAAAGAAAUAUUGUAAAAAGUAAAAGAAAGAAAAAACAUAAGAACAUGUUUAAUAUUUUUAAUUUGAUUAGUUGAAAAGAAGAUAUUUGAUGGUAGACGAAAACUAUUUUAUAAUAAAUGACAAGUAACGUGGCCAAUUUGACAAUUCUAAACAAAAAGGGGGGUUUUAUUCCUGCACUUCCAAUUUGUCUUACUCCAUCAAAAUUUCUAAAUCCCUUGACUGAUCAUACACGUUGAAGAAGGUUGUACUACCUACCACAAAAAAAAAAGCAUGCAUUGCAUUUACUAUAUAUUAGUGAUAAUAGAAAUUUGUAUUUUUUUUUUGUGAAUUUGUCGAAAUCGUAGUUGAACGUAGGAAACAAAUUUGCAAGGUUACGGAUUCAGAUAUUUAGAAUUGAAUAUUGAAUUUCAAAAUCUCCUAUCAGAUUUGAGUUGAAUAUUAGAUUUUAUAAGGAGUACAUCGAAUUUCAAAAUCUGGUACAUUCCUUAACCAAUAUCAAAAUUCUGCAAAGUUGAAAAAGCUACAACAUUAAUUGGUCUUGAUGUUAAGGAGUUAUCGAGCGGUAGGAGAAUGUUAUUAUGUGAUCACGUUGUUCCCCAAGAAGAUGAAGUGGUUGGAUAUCUUACAUAUCUAACCGAAACUUCUUUACUCAUAUUGUAUAUUUUUCUAAAGGCGGAAACAACAUAGGAAAUGAUAACAUUCAAGGAAUACAAUAUCAAUGACAUUUAUCAAAGUUAAGUUUUUGUCCCUAACAAUGACUUGUGGGUCACUCUCAGAUGUCAUAAAUAAUUCUCUUAGCUUUUCCAUAGUUCAAGUGAAAUUAUUUUAUCAUUCACUUGAUAAAAAUACAAAGACAGCUGAAAAGGUCAACCUUAUACUUUUUUUAUUAGAAAUUGUUUUGUCUCUCAAUUUAAAAGUACAAUCAUAUUUUCUUAUGUCAAAUAUACUAGGUUGAACAUCAUAUUUAUAUUUAUUAUACUUUCUAACCCUUUCAUAUCUUAUUAAUAUACCCGUCUUUUUCUUUAGUUGACCAAUAAUUUUAUUAGAUCUUAUAAUGAUAAUAACAAAACCAAGAUAAAAAACAAUCUCUCGAAUUCACUGAAUUAACUCAUAAUAUACAAGAAAAAUCCAAUCAAUUAUAAAAUUAUUUGUGUAAUUUCCCUCACAUAUUUAAUUUUGAAAUUAGGUCUUCCUCUAAACAAAUUUCAAAAUCAAGUGUUUCUUUAAAUCAUAUUUCGAAAUUCGAUUAUUACUAAAAUUAUUUCCUGACUUUCAAAAUUUGGUAAAUAUUUUUACAAACCAUAUUUUAAAAUGCUAUACAUGAAAAAUAUAAUAAAAAUAAAAGUUAAAUUUCCAUUUUAAAACAAAAGUAUAACCAAGAAAAACCAACAAAAUACAUGUACUUGUUUCAGACGAAAAUGAAUGAAAAAUGAACUAAGUUUGAAACGAGGUCAUUCAAAACGGAAAUAAAAGAAAUAGAAGAAGCAGUUGAAUGUGGUUCAAAGAAGAAUAAAAUUUAAGAAGAGAGAAAACACUAUUACUUCAAAUUAGGAGUUGUAAGGUCUCAAUAAAUAUACAAUUUCGUGUAAUAAAUACAUUUAAUAAAUAAUAAUUACUACUUACCUAAUUAAUUUAACAUUUUAUAUAUAUUAAAAAGGAAAAUAUUUGACAUCAUAAUAUAAAUUUUGGAAGUGCAGAAAAAAAAAUGGAGAUACAAUAAGAAAACCGCAGAAAAGUCAUGUGAGAUGUGAAAAGAGCUUUAUAUGCUAAUCAAAAUUGAAAAACAUAACAUCAACGAAACCUACUAUCUAAAAGAAUGUAACACGUGCCUCACAUGAUGAUAAUUUCGCUGACUUGUCGCAAAAAAGAUGAUUCCGGCCAAAUUAUAUCACUACAUAAAAAGUUUCUUUCAGACAUGGGCUGUCGUAGAAGUUUCUGAAAAAUUCUUACAACAAAUUAUUUAUAUUUAAUUUCAAUGGAGUGAAAAUCUUUCACAUGAUUAUGAAAUUUGAUUACUCCGAAAAUACAUUUAUUUUAUUUAUACAUGAUAUAGCAUGUAACUAUUUAAGUAUUAAUAGUAAUGAUCAGAAAUAUUUGACGAAUCCUGAUGAUUAUUUUUGACAGUGAAUAUAUGUAUAAUGAGCCAUAAACUUGAGUCUUUACUUACAAAACAUAGUAACUUAAUUAACAAUUACGAAGUAGGUUUUCACAACAGUUUUUUGGAACAUUCAAACCUUGUGUCACUGUCAUGAGAUGUAGGGUCUAUCAAGGAAGAAGUUUACCAGAAAGAUAGAAUAUCAAUCAGAAAUGAGUCAAAUUAUAUAAGAGAUCGACAUUAUUCUCUAUCCAAAAUCUUAAAACAAUUAAUAAGUUAACGAAUCUUUUAUCUUUAUAUAGUGUUCUACUUUCUCAUUUCUAUCUAAUAUGGAAUUUAGACUUUACACUUGUAUUCCCAACGACUUUUACACUAAAAUCUUUGAAAAAAAAAACUUUAUCAAAUUAAAAUUUGUUUAUUAAAUUGCUUGCUUCAAAUUAUUAUUUUUAAUUUUAAUUUAGGUUAAAUAAACUUUUGAUUUCUUGUGAAUGUUCUUUUAUCAAAUAUGACAUAACAAUAAUACUAUUUUGGAAUAUAACAUUUAUUGACUGUACUAUUAACAAAUAUUCAGAAUUUAUCAUUUGUUAUUUAUGUUUGGUCUAAUCGAGAUGGUGAGUUUUGAUCUUAGGACAAACAUAAUUUAGGCCUAUUCCACCUAAAAAAAACUCCCUAUUUAUUUUAUUUUGUUUGACAAAAUAGAAUAAUGGAGUAAAUGAUAAUUAUUUUUAAGUCUAUAAAUAUACCUCUAGACUUAUAAAAUAAAUAUACAUUAAAUGUUUAUAACUUAAUUCUCUCUUCAACUUUGACAAUAAUAAUGUCAUAUAUAUUAUUUGUUGCAACUUCAUUAUAAUCAAUUUGAUUAAACAAACUGUAUUGAUUCAUGUUAGAAAAUAAAUUUAACUUAUUUUAUUUAUAUAUAUAUUUUUCAUAAAGUUGUUAAAGUUUGUGUUCCAAGUAAAGUAACUUGUGGAAAUUUGUUUGGGUAGCUAAAUAUUAGCCUCAAUCAUACCUUAAAUGCAUGCCUUGCCUAGCAUGUGGCCUUAACUUAUGGCAAGUGGUCCGAAAUAAAUAGAAAAUAAUAUUGUAAAAAUAUGUCGUGUUCUCAUGGCACUAUGAAUUAUUGGUUAGACAAAGACUAAAAAUAAACAUGAAGAAAAGAAGAAUAUUUUUUUACAUAUCUAAAUUUUUUACGUUUAUUUGAUACUAUCUUAUUUUGUUUUUAUUUUGUUUUUAAAAUACAAAAAUUUAUAUUUUUUAUAACUAUUUUAACGUUAUACUACAUAUAAAAUGGAUGUCAAAAUGUGUCGAAUGAUAUUUGAAAAAGCACAGAAAGAUAACAAAUUUCCAUUCCAAAGAUUUAAGAAAUUUUUUUUUUGUACCCAUGUAGUAACGAUUACUCCUACACUUAUUAAAGUUAAAUUUGCAAGUUUUCCUUGUAAGAUCUUUAGCUUAAUGAUCAUAAAAAUGGAAAGUUUUAUCAUGUGAAAUUUCUGCCUAAGUUUGUCAUUUUUUUUGUAUUUAAAAGCCGAAAGAUAAUCAUAAAUACUAACCACAGCAAUAAGAACAAGAACCUCGUCUAAUGAUGGGUCCACUAGUUUUACUUUGUCAAUCUUGCUUAACAUAUGUCAUAAUUUAAACGGAAAUGACCAGUGCUUUGAGUUGCUUUUCCUUAUAUAGGUUUGUUGAUGCACUUUGUUCCAAUCCAAAACUUCUUUUGGUAAGGGUGUCAGUUCCAGAUAUUGAUCAGUAUCUGUACCUCAACUAUUUGGUGAGUUGUUCCAAUGAGUAAGGAAUCUGGUCUGAACAAAGAAAGCACAUCAAUGAAUGACACCAUGGUGGAAGAGGUUGAAGAAAGAGAUCCAGAAAGUAAUCCACUGAAUGAGCCUCUGCUCAAGAGGAACAGGACAUUGUCUUCCAAUCCACUUGCUCUUGUUGGAGCAAAAGUUUCCUACAUAGAAAGCUUGGACUAUGAGUAAGAAACCAGAACAAGACACCAUCAUGCUCAAUUUUCAUGUGUAAAUGUCACUUUGUGUCUUCCCACAAGAAAGUUUACUCAUUUUGAAGAGGCUCCCUCUGUGCAGGAUCAAUGAGAAUGAUCUGUUCAAACAAGAUUGGAGGAGCAGAUCAAGAACUCAAGUCUUGCAGUACAUAUUCUGGAAAUGGGCUCUUGCAUUCCUUGUUGGACUUCUCACUGGUGUCAUAGCCACUUUGAUCAAUCUUGCUAUAGAGAACAUUGCAGGGUACAAGCUUCUUGCUGUUGUCAAAUUUAUUCAAAAGGAAAGGUAAGAUCAAUCUGCCCCACCUUAUAUUCUGUCUGGUAAUCCCAGAAAUUCUUUCCUUUUCUGUGAGGGAAAAAAGUUUGCAAGAAAUCCAGCUUCAGGUUUUAUAGUUUCAAUCCAAACAAAUAUAACAGGAAAGAUAAACCUUAGAUGAUGUUCUUCAAGUGUUGAUAAAAUUGUUCUUUUACCCUGAAGCCUAUUUUGAUCAUUUUCUUAACAAAGGUUUGCAUCAAGGAACUGUGAGUGAGAUUUUUGUUAUAUGAACUGUUUGCAAACUGUGAAUGAAUAUGAAUAUCUGAUACAUGGUGCAGGUACUUGACAGGGUUCCUAUAUUUCACUGGAGCUAAUUUCAUUUUGACAUUUGUUGCUUCUAUUCUGUGUGUGUGUUUUGCACCCACAGCUGCUGGACCUGGAAUACCAGAAAUCAAAGCUUAUCUUAAUGGGGUCGAUACUCCCAACAUGUAUGGUGCCACAACAUUGUUUGUUAAGGUAAACUUUGUUAUGUUGAAUGCUUCAUUUCCUCAACCAUUUUUCUUCUGAUUAACUCAUCACAUCAAAGAAGAAUGUCAAAAUUUAUAUACAAGGCUUCCUUGUUUUGACAGUUUUUUUUGGUGGGUUAGGAAAUAGGCUCAUCAGGGAACAAAAAUAAAAGAUAAGGCAAUGAUGAUAAAUUGUCGCUACUUGAUUUCUGUCAUCGUUAAUUUUUCAAUGAUUAGCAUUCUUUUACUGUAGUGUGAUCUCAAAAGUAGUACAAUUGUUAUAAGGGAUUAGAAAAAAGAUUAGAGUCACUUGAGAUUUUCUUUUUGGAUUGGAUAUAAUACCUCCCUUUUUUCUACAUUUGCAACAACUUUAUAGGGAUACUCUUGAUGUAAUAUUUUUCAACCAAUCAAGGAGGUCUGUGUAAUUUACAAGAAGUUAAAACAAGCAAGGAAUUGUCUAUAGGUCCCAAAAUGAGGAGUAUCUAAUGAAAUCUGAAAAACAAAGAGAUGAGUACAAUUUAAUUUUUUCCUUGAUGGCACCACUGAAUCCUUGAAUUGUUUCUUAUAAUAGCAUAGCAUUAUGGAUUUCAAACAUUAGCACUUGGAAUUGUCUGAGAUGAAUGGCAGAGUAAUAAUAAUGUUGGGUGAAUAAUAUAGUAGUGUCUUUACAAUAUAUGACAAAUCCAGUUAGUAUGUCUCAUCCGACAAAAAAAUGUAUCAUUAUUGAUAGAAGAACAUGACACCAUAUGAUCUCAAUUGCACAGAUAUAAUGCAGAGUUGCAUAUAGUCUAGAACUUUUGACAUAAAAACUAUCAUUACAAAACCAAUACACUGAGAAAGUGUAACCAAUAUAUUUGCUGGUGUAGAUAAUUGGAAGCAUUGGAGCUGUAUCUGCAGGCCUAGAUUUAGGAAAAGAAGGGCCCUUGGUACACAUUGGUAGCUGCAUUGCUUCAUUACUCGGUCAGGGUGGCCCUGACAAUUACAGGAUCAAGUGGCGGUGGUUGAGGUAUUUCAACAAUGAUCGUGACCGUAGGGAUCUCAUCACCUGUGGUGCUUCUUCAGGGGUCUGUGCAGCUUUCAGAGCACCGGUGGGUGGUGUUCUCUUUGCUCUUGAGGAGGUGGCAACAUGGUGGAGAAGUGCUCUCCUCUGGAGAACCUUUUUCAGCACAGCUGUUGUUGUGGUUGUGCUUAGGGCCACCAUUGAACUUUGCCACAAAGGAAAAUGUGGCCUUUUCGGUGAAGGGGGGCUCAUCAUGUUUGAUGUGAGUGAUGUCACUGUGAAUUACAAUGUCAUCGAUGUCAUCCCUGUUGUUAUCAUUGGAGUCCUUGGUGGGGUAUUGGGAAGCCUUUACAACUACCUUCUGCAUAAAGUCCUCCGUCUCUACAAUCUCAUCAAUCAGUAAGCAAUUUUAUCUAUAAUCUCAAUCUGUCAUCUUGUUUCUGUCAAAUAGUACACUAUAUAAUCCAAAACAAUCUAAAUUAGCAGUAAAUAAAAUUAACAAUGCUGUAACUGAGCAGUAGUUUGAUGGUUUGAGUUAUAGGGGAGAUUAGUCUCCUUAUAAAUCUUGAGUUCAUGGCUUGUUAGUUAGAUAAAGUGUAAAGAAAACUUAGAACGUUAAGUAAUCUACCAUUUAUAUAUUGAUGAGAAAAGCUAACAGCACAAUAUUUGACAAUAUUUUUAGCAGUGGUUAAAUUUGAUUGAAAAUCAGAAAAUCAUGAAUGAACUUCUGUUUAUGAUAUCCAAGAAAGUUUAAUCAGUAAUAGAUAUCAUGUUUAAGGAAAAGUUUGGAAUGUGAUAUUAGCAUCUCAUAAUUCAUUAGUCUGAAUUGAAAGCACCUCCAUUAUAACAAAAACAAAGAGUUGUAAAUUGAUCAGGCUUAGAUCAAAAGGAAUAAAGAAAAGGCAAACUGAUCAAGGCAUGUCUUUGUUUACUGCAAAUUUGAAUUGGUUUAAAGAUGAAAUUUCCAACUAGCAGAAUCCAAAUUUGCUAUUUCAGUCUGUAUGACUGUUAAGUAGUAGUGAGUCAACUACUUUUGAUUUUUGCAGGAAAGGAAAAAUGUACAAGCUCCUUCUCAGUCUUUCAGUUGCACUCUUCACAUCAAUAUGCCAAUAUUGUCUCCCAUUCUUAGCAAAAUGCACCCCUUGUGAUCCUUCCCUUUCAGAAAUGUGUCCUACAAACGGACGUUCUGGAAACUUCAAACAAUUCAACUGCCCAAAUGGCCACUACAAUGAUCUUGCAACUCUGCUUCUGACCACCAAUGAUGAUGCUGUUAGAAACAUAUUCUCAACCAACACUCCUUUUGAGUACCAACCUUUCUCCAUCCUAAUUUUCUUUGGACUCUAUUGCAUACUAGGACUAAUCACCUUUGGGAUUGCUGUGCCAUCAGGGCUCUUCCUACCAAUCAUUCUCAUGGGUUCAGGUUAUGGCAGACUUCUUGGAAUCCUCAUGAGACCUCAUACAAACAUUGAUCAAGGGCUGUUUGCAGUCCUUGGUGCAGCCUCACUUAUGGCUGGAUCCAUGAGAAUGACUGUGUCCCUUUGUGUGAUCUUCCUUGAACUAACCAACAACCUUCUCCUACUACCAAUAACCAUGAUUGUUCUCCUCAUAGCUAAAACUGUUGGAGACAGCUUCAACCCAAGCAUCUAUGAGAUCAUCCUGCACUUGAAAGGCCUCCCUUUCAUGGAUGCAAACCCUGAGCCAUGGAUGAGAAACCUCACGGUGGGGGAACUUGUUGAUGUGAAGCCAGCAGUGAUGAGCUUCAGAGGAGUAGAAAAGGUAGCCAAUAUAGUCGAUGCCUUGAGAAACACCACACAUAAUGGUUUUCCUGUCAUGGACUGUGGAGUGGUGCCAGCAACAGGAGUGGCAAGUGAGGCUACAGAACUUCAUGGAAUCAUUCUAAGAGCACACCUUAUUCAGGUGCUCAAGAAGAAGUGGUUCUUGAAGGAGAAAAGGAGAACUGAGGAAUGGGAAGUGAGAGAGAAAUUUACAUGGGUAGAGCUGGCUGAGAGAGAAGGAAACAUUGAAGAUGUGGCUGUGACUAAAGAAGAAAUGGAGAUGUUUGUUGAUCUACACCCUCUCACCAACACAACUCCCUUCACAGUGCUAGAGAGCAUGUCAGUAGCAAAAGCUAUGGUUCUCUUCAGACAAGUAGGACUUCGUCAUAUGCUCGUUGUGCCAAAGUAUCAAGCAUCUGGGGUGAGUUUAUUAAGCACAACAUUACUUCCAUUCUAGCAUUAAAUUUGAUUUUGUCCUUCACUUUGAAAGCAUUUCAAGAUGAAAUAUGACAAUGUUCAUCAAAACAAAUCCUCUUUUUGUCUCUGAAAUGAAAUUGUGUUAAACUUGUUCCUUGUCUUUCACAAAAGAUUAUACUUCCUUUUACAUAGAAUAAAACGUUUAUAACCUUAAAUUUGUUGUCCUCAUAGGUGUCUCCUGUGAUUGGGAUCUUGACGAGGCAGGAUCUUCUGGCACACAACAUUCUGACAGUGUUUCCUCAAUUGUCAAAACCAAAGAGGAAGUGAAGCUUUUGUUGUCAAAUAUGAAUGAAUGGACAAGCAGCUUUAUUGGGACAUUCUUUCUAUUCAACAUGAAGCUUUUCCUCAGUUUUGCAUUAUUUGGGUCAUGCAUGGAGAAGAAGAUUCAACAUUGAUGUAAAACAUAUUCAAUUUUUCCUAUUUUUUUCCUCACAGGUUUUUAUCUGCUAAUGAGAUCAUAUCAUCUUCCCUUGUUAAAUAACGUUAAUGAUAAUAUCAAUGGUAAUUUUUCUCUUUCCGCUUCAGAAACAGGUACUAAGAUUUUCCUUUUUUUUCUAUUUUUCUUUAACUCUUUGUUAUAAUUAACUUUUUUUUUCCUCUUCUUUAUUUUUUCCCUCUUGAGAUUUAGAAAUAUAUAUAUAAUUAAAAAGUGUUAAGAAAAUUAUUUAAAUGUUGGGAUGAGAUAAUAUCAUUUUAUGUUGUUUUAUGUGUACCAUAGGUUUUAUUUGUAAAGAUAAUACCAUUUUUUUCCUUUUUAAGUUUUUUUUUUCUAUUUUAUAGCUUUAUUAUAUAAAUAAUUUUAUUUUGGAAAAAUAUAUUUAUCUUUCAUAGUACUUUUAUUUUUUUUAACUAUUAUUGUAUCUUUUAUACUAUGAGUUAGGCAAGAGUCUACAAAUCUAACAUUUUCAAUAAGUACUUUUUAGUAUUCACUACUAUUGCAUUUAAUUUCUAUAUAUGAAUCAUUAUUUCCUAUAUUUAAUUUAAAGAUAGCAAUUACAAAGAAAAUUCAAGAGAUCAUGAAGAUUAUAUCAUUCACUCAUUUUCAAGUACAUUUGUCUUCGAAUAUCAUUAAUACACUUCUUCCUGGAUAAACAUAAUACCAAGAUAAAAAAAAAUCAUUUUUUUAUUAGUUUUCCAAUUUAGGACUAUAAUUUGUGUACGCACUUUUAAUUGGUUGAGACCAAAUAAUAAGUUGUUGUAACUUCUCACUAAAAGAUCUUCCUAAAAUUGUUGAAUACAAUAAUAUAUGCAUAAAAAAAAUAUAAUCUUUUAUCAUUAUAUUUGAAAUUACAAGAAAACAUUAGGGGAUAUUGAUUUUGAAAUUGUUUUUCAAAGCAGCGUGUAAUGAAUUUGCAAAAGAUAUAUAAUUUAGAUGAAAUGUUUAGAUGUUGGUUUUUAUAAGUAGUGUAUAUGGAAAAUGUCUCAAAGAGAAAGAUAGUAAAACACAAAUUUUAUACUGAUUCACUCAACCUGAACUACAUUCAAUUAUCUCUUAAGAAUUCUUAAGGGAUUCCAUUAAUCUUUAUGAAGAUUACACAAGUUUUAUCUCUCCAGGUUUACACUGAAUAUUAACACCACUCCUAUUUCACCUAAUCAACAUGACUAGUUCGAGUUUAACCACUCUAGUAUCCAAGUAUUCUAACCACUCUUGAUAUAACCUUAAACAACUAUCUAGACUAUUUAACUUAAUUGAGUUCAACACUAAGUGUUUUAAUUCCCUUCAUAAUGUACAGUGUGAUCAAUGUUAAGAUCAAUUACAGAUUGAUAACUCUUAGUGAGAGGAUAAUUUUUCAAUACAAAAAAAAAAAAUCUAAGAAUCUUGCAAAUAUGUCUUUUCAAGCUUAAGCUUUAGACGAUAUAUGAGCAGAGCAAUAAAAGGCUUGUUUUAGCAUUCAAAUGAUCUAUAUUCUAUCCUUCUUUUCUUCUCUUCAAGCUUUUGUCUAUUUAUAGUUUUUCUGAAAAAUUGUCUAUUAGAAAUAGAGUGUUGACUUCUUAUAGGGUUGAUAGUCUUUUUAGGUGAGAAGUCAGACUCAGGACUACUUUGUAAAGGUACAAUGUUUUAUCAUAGCUUUUUUCAAUAGAGGGCUUGUACGGUGUGUCAGAGCAGAAAUCUUCAAGGAAAACACUCUGAGAAUGUUCUUCAUAUCUCUCAAUGUCUUUAUCUUGUGUGCAGUUGAUUUUGGUCAAGUCUUGUACUUUUUGUGACAUGCAUAUAUAUCAAGAACAAAGUAUAGAAUUUUCGAAGGACUUUAUCAUACUUGCAUUAAAAGUCAUUUAAUAUUUUGAAUGUUGAUAAACAUUAAGUUAUAUUGGAUGUUUAAAACAUUUUAUCAUUUGUCAUCUCACUAAUAAAUGUAUCACCGCAAUUUGGUUAAAGCAUUCAACCAAUGUGAUGUGUAAAACAUUAAAUGUUUUAUAUUGAAAGCUUGUCUAUAGUUUUCAUUAAAGGAUACAUUUCAUAAUAUGCUUGCUUGAAAUAACACUAUUUUAUUAAGACAUACUUUAAGCUUUAGCAUUAACAAGAGAUAGACGUUUUUGUUUAUAAAGCACUUGCUUGUAAGACUCUAUUUGUAACACAUAUGAUCUCUUAGAUGAUUCUUUGAUAAAAACACUUUUUAUAAGACUUUGUUUGUUGAAAAAAUAUAAGCUUGAAAGCAUUGUUUUAUAAUUCAUCAUAUGAUUUCAAAUUGUGGGCAUUUCCUUUCUUUAUAUUUCUAAAACAUUGUUCAUCUGGUAAUAUGGUCUAGAAAAUGUUAUCAUAAGUUUAUUUUUGUCUAUUAAGGAUGUUCCAAAAAUCUUUUCUCCUUAGAUGUUUUUCUUUCAAACAAUAUUUCUUUUAAAACGAUAUUUCGUUUAAUGCUUUUUGUUAAACUUUAAAACUUAGUUGCAAGACGAUCUAGUUUCUAGAUGAUCUUGUCUUAACAAUAUUCCUUCUUGUUUAUUGUUUAUUUAUCUCCUUUUCUUUUCUUUUUAUAUUUUUUCUUGAAUUUCUUUUUCUCUCAACUCUUUUUCCUUAAGUUAUUUUUCUCUCAACUCUUUAUCUUCAUUUUUCUAUCUUUCUCAACUUCUUUUCUUUAAUUUCUUUCUAUGUCAACAUUUUUUUCUUUAAUUUCUUUCCUUUUCUUUUUCUCCACCUCUCUAUUUCAUCAUAAUUUCACCAUACCUUUCCUAAUAUUCAUCAAAUGUUUUUUUCUUUAUCUUUAUUUGUUUACUCUCUCUUUUCCUUUCCUUUUAUUCUCCUCAAAAUGCUCUUUCAAUUUUCUCUCCAUCUCUAAAACAAACUCAUUAACUAACAAUUUGUGAUAAACGGGGCACUUUUAGCACUAGUAGUUGCCACUUUUCUGAAAAUACAUGCAUACAUAAUCAUAUACAUACAUAGAUAGACACAGACACACCUAUACACACACAGACACACACACAAACACACACACACACACACAUACACACAAACAGACAUAGACACACACACAAACAUAAACACAUACAGACACAAAAACAAGCACACACACACACAGAUACUCACGAACACACAUAGACAAAACAUACACACACAAACACACACAUAUAGACACACACACAAACGUGUGUGUCUAUAUAUAUAUAUAUAUAUAUAUAUAUAUAUAUAUAUAUAUAUAUAUAUAUAUAUAUAUAUAAACACUCAUUGAAUAUGAAGGGCCGAAGCUCUAAUACCAAUUGAUGAGAAAUCACGGAGGAUCAUUUUGAUAUUCAGUUUGGGAAAGAAAUUGGUGUCACACUUAAGAAAGAUGAGAAGUUGAGCGAUAAGUCAUGAGGUUAAUUACCAUAAGUUAUCUUUAUACGAUCAAAAUUGGGGUUCUUAUAACGUAGAACUCCAUAAAACUCUCACAAAGAGAAUAAUUAAUUACCAAACAUAUUUACUGGAAAACAUGCUAUAUUUACUAAUCCUCGCAUCCCAAGUUACUUUCACUUUCAAAAGCAACUCUGACGACGUUUUCUUUCUUCUUUAGGUUAAGUUUUCUUCUUAUGUGAACAACAUUGCAUUUUCUCCUUAUUUUUUCUCAUCUUCGUUUGAUACAGAGAGGUACACAUUGAUUUUAUUCUUUUUAACUUAUAAUUUUUUUAUGAAUAUAAAUUUGGUAUUUAUUUUUAUUAUAUAUUGCAUUUACCAAAUUUUAAAAUCUGGUUUAUAAAAGUAUUCACUGGAUUUUGGAAGCCAUAGGGUGAAUAAUAUUAGUAAAAGUUGAAUUUUGAAAUCUUUGGGGAAGCAACUAAUUUCAAAAUUCAGGUUUAGGAAGUAACCAAAUUUCAAAAUCCAGUUAAAAAACUCACUAGAUUUUGAAAUCCGAUUAAGAUUAUUUUAGGAUACCAUCGAAUACUGAAGUUUGAAAUUUGGUUAAGGAUACCAUCGAAUUUUGAAAUCCAGUUAAGCAUUCUCUUAGAUUUUGAAAUUCGAUGCUAUUUUUUUUAAUUUUCUUUAAAUUCAUUUAGCUUCUUUUGUUUAAUAUUUAUUUUUUAAAAUUUAUUGUACUUAUUUUGUUUUAUGAAUUUGUUGAUAUCCACUUGUUAUUAUUGAACAAGUGAGAUAUUCUAUGUUGAUGACAUGUUGUAAGUGGUUAUAAUAUUCGUAUCUAAGAUGAAAGAUUGUCCUUUAAGUUAUAUAGAAUCACAAGUACAUUCCAUUUUUCUGUCAGAUUUCUCUUCUUUAUAAAGGAAAUGUGCGAAGAAGAUUACACAAAUAACUUUACAAUUGAUCAUAUUUUUCCCACAUGUAAUGAGUUACUUCAGUGGGUUUGAGGGAUUGAUUUUAAUCUUGUUUUUGUUGUUAUCAUUAUAAUAUCUAAUAAAGUGAACCGAAAUUCGAAAUCUAGUAGACUACUUAACUGAAUUUUGAAAUAUGGUAGAAUACUUAACUAGAUUUUGAAAUCUAGUAGAUUACUUAAUUGAAUUUUGAAAUCCAAUCCACUACUUAAUUGGAUUUCAAAAUUUGGUAGACUAUUUAACCAGAUUUUAAAAUUUGGUUAAGUAGUCUAUAGAGUUUCAAAAUUUGAUACCUUUUCCAAAUCCACACAUUCCGUACAUUGGUUAAAAUUUGGUUAACAUUCCCUACAUUGUUUUUCAAAAUACACACAUUCCUUAAUCAAAUUUGGAAAUCCAAUAUGUGUCUAAAUCAUAUUUCAAAAUUUUAGUAUUGACCUAAACCGGAUUUUGAAAUUCGCUACUAUUUUAAAUCAGAUUUCGAAAUCUGGUAAUCAUCUAAAUGAAUUUCAUGACAAAACAAAUUUCUAUCGCAAAAAUCUCCAAAUAAGUUAUUAAAAAAAUGGAAACUUACUUACUUGACGAGGAAUGUGUAAGCGGAAAAGAUGAAGAACACUAUGAUGCAGAAACGAAAGGGAAUGAGUUUGUGGGGUGGAGAGUGGAGAAAAAAAGAACACAGAUUUUGGGGUGAAUGAUUGAUGUGUGGGAAGUGAGUGAAUGAAAGAAGUGACUGCAAUGUUAGGGUGAAAGUGUGAGAGGUGAUUGCUUAAGGGUAAACAUAAGGAGAGGGAAAAAUUAGGAAUUUACCCAAUCAAAGUCAAGGGGAAUUCAAGAUAUUUAGAAAAUUUUGGAAGUGUAAGAAGAAAAACGUGGGUCGGAAGAAAGCCCUGUUGUUGGGGAAAGAGUAACAAAGAAAGAGAUUGGGGUCUCACCAAUUGCUUGUGCAAUCAGAUCUAGAUUAGAAAAUCCUUGAACGUUCGAGAGAAAGAAAAAUGAGGCACCAACAACAUCGUUGACGCCAUACUAGCACAACAACAACAUCGACAAGGAAUGAAUGAGAAGGGACCUAGAGGUGCGUAGUACCUUUUAGGCAAUGCUCAAUUGAAUGGAUAAAGGAUGGGAAAGAAGCCCUCACGUUUAGGGAUGACAAAACAAUUCAGGCCCGUGGAUAUCCGUGGAUAAAAUCCGCGACGAAUAGUUGGUACCCGUGGAUAUUUACUAUCCUUGGGUUGCGGGUAGCCUGUAUUUUAAUACCUGUUUAUAAACGAGUUGUGUGCGAGUAUUAUACUAUCCGUUCAUAUGGAUAUCCGCUACCUGCAAAAAAUAAAAAUAAAAAUCUAAUUUAUAUUUUCUUAAGUUAAAUUUAAUUAAAAUUAAAAUUAAUUUAUAUUUUAUAAGAUUAAAUUUAAUUAACUUUAAAUUUAAAUUUAUUUUUAAUUUAAUUUAUAUUAUAUUUUAUAUAUUUUUUCUAAUUUUGUUUUAAUAGUUUAUAAAAAUAUAUUUUUUUAAAUAUUUACAUAUAUCUGCAUAUAUGAAUUUUAAAAUACAUGUAUCUGUAUAAGUAACGAGGAGAUAAUAGAUAUAUUUUCUUUUUUGGAUCAGGUUGCACGUAUGUACUGUAUGUACUAUUCGUGCAGAAUCAAACUUGUUGUCAUCCCUGUUCAUCUUUGAGAAAGAAUAAGACGAUGAAGUAGAUUGAUUACAUUUACUUUAUGCACCCUAAUGUGUACCAACUUCAUGCCCUGUUUUAUUUUAUCUUUUAGCUUUUAUCUUACUUGCACCCCUACAUUCACUAUACACACCUCACAUUAUUUGCUGGUUAAACCACUCGUUUUCCUAUAUCGCAUCCUUGUAGGUUUUAUUUUCUGUUUGCGCUAUUUUAUUUCUUGCACCUAUAUACAUACAUAUUGCACCCUAUUGGUGUUGCAUUUUUCCCUUGUUUCUAAUUACACCUCUAUUUUUAAUAUUUUCUACAUUUGUUUUACGUUUUGGGCCUUUCUUUCAUUUUCUGAAACACCUUUUUAAGCUUUUCAUAAUUCCACCUCACUUACUUUUUAUACUUUUCUUUUUCACAUACAACAUUUUUAUUACAAAUAAUCAAAAUAUAAAAAUAAACAAUAGUUUCUUUGUUAGUGUGUUAACACCUUUUAAAAUAAUUUAAAAAUAUAAAAAAAUCAAAAUUAAAAACAAUCAAACCACAUUUAAAUAAUUUUUUAAGAUUUAGGUUAUUUUUUAUUUUUUUUACUGUGAAUGAAAAUAUGUAAGAGAAAAGUCAACUCAUGUCAUGUUGAGUUUAAAAAAAAUAAAAAAAAAUACAAAAUCAGUUUAAAUAGUUUUCUAGAAUUUGGUAAGCUCUAAUUUUCAUUGAAUAAUAAUACCUAAAAGAAAAUUCAAUCCUUUUUAAGUCCAGAAUAUUUAAAAAGAUAUUUUUGUUUAUUUUGUCGAGUCUUAUAUUCUUACUUUUGGCAAAAUAUAUAUUUAGAAUAAACUAUAAUGUUAUAGAAUGUUAAUACAUUUUUUACACGUAAUUAAUUUCAAGAUUCAAAAUUUGAUUUCGUAAACCACGCUUUAUUUAUACGAUUUUAUUAUAGUUUUUGCAGACCAAACCCUCUUUUACAAAAAUCCUAAAAUUUACAAAGAAAUAUUCACACCUAUUAAACUUUUACAAGAUUAAAAAAAAAAGAAAUCCCUAAUAUUCUAUAAAGUAAUAGAAUCUCGUUUUUUAAACCUUCCUUCAUUUUCUUGUAACUCCUUAAACAUAAACAUAGACCUUGUGGAUAGUAGCAUUCUCCCUUAUGAAAAGAAAUCAUAAUUUACAUUAUACAAAAUUAAGAAAAGUGAUUAUAAGAGAAAAGGAAAAAUCUUAUUUAUAUAUAUAGUGUACUUUUAAUACUACAUAUAAGGCAUGUCCAUUCAUGUUGGACUAAUUUUGAUUCAAAUUAGGUGAAUACAAGGAGGUGAUCAUUAAAAUUUCCAUGACAUCAUAUCCACAAGUUUCAUACUUAUUUAAUCAAUUAAAACAAGGAAACCAUUACUGUGAGAGAUAAUGCAAUAAUGAACAUAAAAGAGGUGAAGCAUUGUGAGGCUGAAGACGCAUCAGUAGUAACAGCAGGAGAAAAAGAUGAUGAUGAGGAGGAAGAUGAUGAUGAUGGUGAUGAUGCUGGAGAAGGAGCAUUAGCAUUCCCUUUAAGUAUGGUAAUUUUGAGCUUCAUCCCUUGACUACAGUGGCCUAAGGUACCACAAGUGAAGUACCUCGUACCUGGUUUCUCCAAUUUCACAACAUCAUUCCCAGUACUUAAUGAUUGGAUUGGAUUGCUGAUAUCACAACUCUUGUAGGCACUCUCAUUACCUAGUUCAAUCACACUAUGCAAAGAACUAUACUUGAAAACAGCACAACAAAUUAAAUAAUAAGACCUCAGUAACGAUACUGUGUCACACUUUUAUAUUCAUAACGAUAUUGUAACACACUUUUACAUUCAUAUGACACAUAAUAUAAGAGUAAAAUGGUGAUAAAAGUAUAAAUAUUUGUAGUUUUUUAAGAAAGAAAAAAAUAAAAAAAUAAAAAUAGUAUCAAAUGAAUAAAAAAUUUAGAUGUGUGUUAAAGAAUAACUUUUCAAUUAUAACUUUUAAACUAGGUUUUAAAAAUAAGGUUUAAUUGCUUCUUUUGUCCCCCAGUUUAGUUGAAGUGUGUCAAAUGUCCCCCUUUUAGAAAAAUAUCAAUUUCGUCCUCAUAUAGAAAAAAUUUGUGUCAAUCAAGUCAUCUCCGUUAAAUACAAACUAAUGGUGUUAAAAACUUAAAGUGAGUUUUGAAUAAUAACCACUUCAUGGGUCCGAUCCCUGAUAUUACAGUGGAUAAAGUGAGUUUUGAAAGCAAUGAUAAUGAUUUUUAAGGGAGAUGACUUGAUUGACACAAUUUUUUUUUUCUAUAUGGGGACGAAAUUGACAUUUUUCUAAAAGGGGACAAAUUUGACACACUCCAACCAAAUUAGGAACAAAAGAAGCAAUUAAACCUAAAAAUAAAUUAUUAUUAUUAUUAUUAUUAUUAUUAUUAUUAUUAUUAUUAUUAUUAUUAUAAUUAUCUUAACCCUAGUAUAAUGCAAAAGAAACAUACCAAGUUUAUCUCCAACAUUGAAUGUUUGGCCUGAAGUCCAUGAGUUAAAGUCUGUGGAUUGAUCCCAACCUUGGCUUCCACCAACAACAUGCUGUGCUGCAAAGACCUCCUUUGCAACAACCAUGGCUGCAAGCAGUGCCAAGAAAAGUGUGUUCUUGAGCCCCAUUGUUAUAUAGCUUCUUUCUUCUUUUUCAGACUUCUCUUACUACCACUUUCUCCAGACUGAAAGGGUUUUCUUCAAACAUUGCUAUGGUUCAUUCUUAUUUAUACUCAGAUCUCAGUACCCCAAUAUGUUUUUUUUUUUUUUUUGUUAAAAUAUAGGAUUAGUUUUAGUUUUAGUUCUUAUAUUUCACAAAAUUGUAAUUUUGUUCUCUACAUUUUUUCACAAUUUCAUUCCUUUGGUUCUAACUUUUCAACCUUUUAAUCCUUGAAUUUUACACAUUUAAUUAAUCUUAGUUUUUAAUUGUCUGGAUUUAUUUUCUCAAUUCAAAAAAUAUUGUAAAUCACUAUUAAGUUAAUACUAGCUAGUGAUGUAUAUAUUAUCUCGAUAUUAUUAUUGUAAAAAUAAUAAUAAAAAAAACUAAAAAGGGUAGAAAAAAGCAACUUAAAUUAUAAAUGUUAUAAGACUUUUAACCAUUAAAUAUAGAAAAGAAACUUAAAUUAGGAAUUCAUAAGAUUGAUGACAUGUUUCCGUUUUCAUACGACUUAACUAGUUUUUUUAAACAAUUAAGGGACAUGGUUUUUAGAAUUUUAUUUUAAAGGUGGUUAAUUGUAUGAAAACUUUAAGAAUAAGAAUAAUUAUAUGAAGUUGGUAUUUUAUAGUUGGUAAAAAUAAAAAAUAUUUUUCAAUCUAAUGGGUGGGUGAAGAUAGCUUUGUCAUAUCUUUGAUUAAAGGGUAAAACAAAGGUGCAUUGUUUGUGAAGUAUAAUCUUCUGUUUCAGCCAUUGGAUUAACCACCAAGCAUUCUAGGGUUGGUAAAAGAUGAUAAAACUUGACUUUUAAACUAAGUUGCCAUGUUACAUAUUUAAAAUGACCAAAAAUAAUAAUAGAUUAAAUAAAAAAAAUAGAUACAUUAUUUUUAGAAUGUGAAUCUUCUUCCCAAAAUUCAGUUUAAAAGUUUAGGAACUGAUAGGUCUAAACAUUAAAUAUGUUUUAUCUUUAUUUUAAUUAUAAAAAUAUUUCCAGAUUUUAAAGUUUUGUCUUGAGCAAGAAACAUUGAAAUAUAAAACAAUUAUCUUCACUGUCUGCUACACGAAUAAUUGAAAAUAAUGAAAAACUAAAUUAAUUGUAUACAAAACAAUGUUUUUUUUUUUUUUUAACAAUUAAAGGUAAACAUUAAAACCAAAUGAGAACCUGUUUUAUAGUAAAGGGGUUAAUAUGAAAAUACGAGAAUAUUAUUAUUUUUUACUUAUCAAUUUUUCUAAUAAGUCAGGGAUUUAUAGGAAUGAAAGACCCACUGACCAAUAUUGUUUUUACAUUGAUAAAAUAAAAUAUAAAAAAUGUUAGACUCUCAAGAUAUUUUACAAUAUUAGUUGUCUUUCCUCUCAAAAUUGAAUAAUUAAUGUUACUUUUUAACAAAAAUAUAUGUUGAGUUCCUUACAAUUAGUAGAGACUAAACUACGUUCCUUUAAUAAAAGUAGAAACUAAACCAAUAAAACUUGCAUAUAAACAAAAAUUAACCCAACAAAAUUUUUAAGAAAUAAAAAACACUUUUACCUAAAAAAUUGUUAAUUUGUACCAAUAAUAUAGUCAAAUAAUUAUAUCUUUACUGUAAAAGAAUAAUUUCCGUCAUAAUUAUAUCUUGAUUUUGAUUGGUAAAUAACUUAAAAGAAUUGUCUGGAGAUAUAUAGUUGUAAAUUUUACAGACUUAUUUACGUCAAAUAAAUAAUAAAUAAUAAUUAUUAUAAAUGGAACCUUUUAUAUUGAUUGUAGACGAACCAUUUAAUAAAUAAGUAUUUUCUUUUAAAAAAAACUCACAAAAGUUAUAAGAUUAUAAAAUUAAAAACUAUAAAAUUAUAACAUGAUAAAAUUAUAAAAUAUAAGAAUUAUAAAUCAUGAAACUAUAAAAAUAAAAUUAUAAUAUAAAUUUAUAAAAUUGUAAAGUUAGAUGAUUAUAAAAUCAUAAAAUUAGAAAAACUUAAAAAGUUAUAAACUUACAAGAUUAUAAAAUAAUAUAAUUGUAAAAUUAUUAAAUUAUAAAGUUAUAAGAUUAAAAAAUUAUAACGUUAUAAAAUUAUACAAUUAUAUGUAAUAAAAACUAAAUAAAAUAAUAAAACAAAAUGAAAAUCUUAAUUAAAAAUGGCAGUUAACAGAAAAAUUAAAUCACAAAUACUCAAUUAAAAAAUAUAAAAUUUUUAAGUAUUUAAUAGAUAAUAAAAAUUUAAUAUAAAUUUAAUUAAAAAUUUCUAAAUACAUCAUAAUUUAAAACUUAAUUAAAUCUAUUAAUAAAGUAAGAUUCAUUCAACACAAUGUAUAAAACUAGAAAUACAAUCAUCUAACAAGUUAUAAAUACAAGUUGUUUGAGGUUGGACACCACAUACUAAUAUCAACAGAUAUUAUAAGUUUUGUUUACUUGGUCAAUCUCUACUCUUAACAUCUUAUCUCUUUCAAGAAAGUUGUCUUAGUCUGGCUCAUCACAUUUAAUAGAAAUAAUCAGAUACCAAAAUAAAAUUAAAUACAGAGAACUUACUUAGACAAGGAGAGACAACAAUAGGAAAAAAUGAAUGACGACAGUUAUAUCAACAACAAAAGAAAGAAAAAGACACAUAGAUAUAGUAAAAAAUAGAUUUUUAAGUCUAAAUAUUUAAGUCGGUAAAUAAAAAAAAGACUUAGAAAAUAUGUCGUGAUAAUUUUGUAAAUAAAAAACAUUUGUUUAAAUCUAUUAAUAUUAUAAAAUACUUAAAUAAUCACUUUUUAAAUUAGUGUUGAGUAACAGAUUUAAAUAGUUAAAUUUGAAAUCUGUUUAAAGACUACUGAUAGACUUAAAUAAUUAUAUUUUAACCACAUUCACUUAAUCAAUCAAACCAUAGACUGAGCCAAGACACGGUGAGGGUUGAAGCUGUCUCAUUUGAACCAGUAAAGUUAAUUUUAAUCUCGAAGCCUCAAAUGCAAACUGAGCCUGGGUGAGUUAGAGUUCCUAUGGACUUUAUAAAGCUUUGCAUAAUUAAGAUCUAAUUUGGAUUGCAAGGAUUCUAAAAUUAACUUUAUAAUAAGAUGUCUUCUUCAGAAAAGCUAAAGUUAGAUUUAUCAAUUGAACUAAGAUCAUCAAUCUGAAUUUCUUUUUUAGUUGAUACUUUUCUCCAUUUACAUUGUGUUUCGGGUGUAAGCUCAAACAACUUCUACAAACGCACCUUUACACUCUCACUCUUGAACUGCUUAGGUGAUUAUAUUCGUCUUCUGUCCAACUUCUUCUUUGUCCUUGCUCUAAACCGAUAAGAGGUAUUUAUCAAAAGUAUUCCGCGUAAGAAGGUUAGAGUAAAAUCUUAAGUUCACAAUAAAUGUGAUCACCUAUCUCUUACCUUUGAUAUUUAUUUAUAACUUUUGAGAUGAGCCUAAGAUUAAUGAAAUCUUAAUCACGGUUCAAUCUCAGCCCAUUACACUAAUUGGUACUUACCAUUAAUCUUGAUUCUUGAUAUCUCUUAAGAAGUGUUUGCUUUUGAGAUCGCUCGUCCGACUCCACUCAUGCAUGGACGGAUGGCCUUCGUAUUUAUUUUGUUUGGAAUUGGGUAUUUAUCGCACUAGGUUAACCGCUCUUCUAUGUGAGGACCGUCGGGCCAUACGAUAAACAUCAAUUACUUUACUUUAGGUUUGCUAUGUUUUUUAUUGGUGAUUUCAACAAUUCACUUCAUGUCAUAAUUCUUUCUCUGUUUAGUUAGUUCUUUAAUUGAAGUUUUAAAUAGUAAUUUAAUUAUGCAUAUAGAAUUAAUUUGGACUCUUGGAUUCUUGCAUUCAUAUUACUUUCACAUACAUCAUUUAGACUUGAUAGCUCUGCAUUCAUUCCAUAUUGCAUAUUGCAGUCCUUACAUAAUCAACAUUAUAGUUAGAUAAUGUCAGUGCGUAAAAUUCUACAUUCACAAUCCAUACCAUAACUGUUGUCACACUUAUAUCCUUUAAGCUUGGUUUCAAAAUGUAAAUUUAGAUUCUACAUUUGAAUUACUUAGUUACAUUGCAUCUUUCAUUUCCAAACGUUAUUUUAAGCUUGUUCCAAUUUCUACAUGUACAUUUUCCACACUAGCAUUAUAAAAAGAUAAAACUUGACUUAAACUUAUUUUCAUACGCUCUCAAAACGGUCAACUUAGAUAAUAGACAGUUUAGUUUAUAGGAAUGUGGAUUAUUAUUGGCCAUUUCUUUUAUGGAAAAAUCUAUGGACUUUAAGUAUAUUGUUAUAUAGUUUAACAACAUACUUUAAUUUUAAAUCUGUUAGAUAACAACAUAUCUAUAAUUUAAUUAAGCCUACUAAAUCUAAGUCUAUAAUUUAAGUAUGUUGUUGAUUAACCUACUUAAAUUUUAAGUGUUAAAAAACUUGUUUUGUACUAAGAAUAGCAUCAUAAUCAUCAUUAAUAUAUAUAUAUAUAUAUAUAUAUAUNNNNNNNNNNNNNNNNNNNNNNNNNNNNNNNNNNNNNNNNNNNNNNNNNNNNNNNNNNNNNNNNNNNNNNNNNNNNNNNNNNNNNNNNNNNNNNNNNNNNNNNNNNNNNNNNNNNNNNNNNNNNNNNNNNNNNNNNNNNNNNNNNNNNNNNNNNNNNNNNNNNNNNNNNNNNNNNNNNNNNNNNNNNNNNNNNNNNNNNNNNNNNNNNNNNNNNNNNNNNNNNNNNNNNNNNNNNNNNNNNNNNNNNNNNNNNNNNNNNNNNNNNNNNNNNNNNNNNNNNNNNNNNNNNNNNNNNNNNNNNNNNNNNNNNNNNNNNNNNNNNNNNNNNNNNNNNNNNNNNNNNNNNNNNNNNNNNNNNNNNNNNNNNNNNNNNNNNNNNNNNNNNNNNNNNNNNNNNNNNNNNNNNNNNNNNNNNNNNNNNNNNNNNNNNNNNNNNNNNNNNNNNNNNNNNNNNNNNNNNNNNNNNNNNNNNNNNNNNNNNNNNNNNNNNNNNNNNNNNNNNNNNNNNNNNNNNNNNNNNNNNNNNNNNNNNNNNNNNNNNNNNNNNNNNNNNNNNNNNNNNNNNNNNNNNNNNNNNNNNNNNNNNNNNNNNNNNNNNNNNNNNNNNNNNNNNNNNNNNNNNNNNNNNNNNNNNNNNNNNNNNNNNNNNNNNNNNNNNNNNNNNNNNNNNNNNNNNNNNNNNNNNNNNNNNNNNNNNNNNNNNNNNNNNNNNNNNNNNNNNNNNNNNNNNNNNNNNNNNNNNNNNNNNNNNNNNNNNNNNNNNNNNNNNNNNNNNNNNNNNNNNNNNNNNNNNNNNNNNNNNNNNNNNNNNNNNNNNNNNNNNNNNNNNNNNNNNNNNNNNNNNNNNNNNNNNNNNNNNNNNNNNNNNNNNNNNNNNNNNNNNNNNNNNNNNNNNNNNNNNNNNNNNNNNNNNNNNNNNNNNNNNNNNNNNNNNNNNNNNNNNNNNNNNNNNNNNNNNNNNNNNNNNNNNNNNNNNNNNNNNNNNNNNNNNNNNNNNNNNNNNNNNNNNNNNNNNNNNNNNNNNNNNNNNNNNNNNNNNNNNNNNNNNNNNNNNNNNNNNNNNNNNNNNNNNNNNNNNNNNNNNNNNNNNNNNNNNNNNNNNNNNNNNNNNNNNNNNNNNNNNNNNNNNNNNNNNNNNNAUAUAUAUAUAUAUAUAUAUAUAUAUAUAUAUAUAUAUAUAUAUAUAUAUAUAUAUAUAUAUAAUAACUUUGCUGAGUGUAAAUCAAUCUAAGUUGUUUCAAUCAUGAAAAUACGUACAUUAAUAUUCAUUAGAUGAUUUGUGAAGAAUCCUCAAACAACGUGAGAAUAUACAACUUACAAAAGAAAAACAUGUGUUCUUAAAUUUGACUCACUUUACAAUUAAUAUAUUUAAUUUUUAUUAUCUACACAUUUACCGUCAGCCUCACCCAUUCUAUGUUUUACUUUUAAUUAAUUUAGUGUCAUUUUAGAGUUGGUUUCACUCACUCUAAUAGAGUCUGUUUUUAGGCCUUUUCUAUUUUUAUACAACUAAAAUCCACAGUGUAUUUGUUAUUAUAGGAUCCUACUAUCAUCUUGGUAUAUGAUUUGAUGAUUUUGCAUGUAUCAUAGUUAAAAGGAAGCCUACAAUUCUCCCUAAAAUUCAUAUAUUUACGUUCUUUUGUUUUAAUUGAAAAUUGACACUUUAUAUAACAUCCAUUUGUUUCAAUUAUAAUUGUUUAAAUUAUAUAAAAAUAACAUAGUUUUUAUGUUUUAACAUGCUUAUAACUUCAAAUUUUGGAGUGUUAGAUUUUAUGAAUGAUUAUUAUUAAUUUCAUAUAGUUUUUACUCUUCCAGUGUUUCCCUAUUCUAGUACUCUUUUUAUUACAUACUUUACUCUUAUAUAUUUAUACAAGGUUUAAUAACAUUAUCCCUAUAUGAAUAUUAAUGAUCCAAUAUUUUGUUUUUGUUUAUUUUUUAUUUAAGAUACUCCCUAUAGUUUAAAAGAAAACUCUUAUGCCAGAUUAGGGUUGACAUACGUGAUUUAAAAGAUAAUGAGUUUACAUCUAAUACAGUCACCCAUUUACACGUUUUCUAUCCAAUUUCAGGAGCAAAAUUAGAGGAAUAAUAUUAACAUUGAUAGAAAGGAAAAGACCACAUUGAUUUUAUUUUAUUUUAAAUAUAAAUCACAUUUAGUCAAAUAUAAACAUUAAUAAAAGUUAAAUACAAAUAAAUGAACAAAAAAUACUAUUAAACCCUUAUACAACAUCCUAUACAUAUCAUAACAUUUUUGGUGCUUUCUUUUUAUAGUUUACCGUAUGGUCCGGACGAUCGUAUGUAAUAUUCCAUAUCAAAUAAGCCAGACAGCCAUAGAGGGCAAAAAACGACUAAGUAGCGGAUGAAUGUGACUGAAUCAAUAGGCAAGGCCGAACGGUUAGGAAUAGAGACAUUCGGCUUUAGUCGAUAAAUAGGUUAAGGUAAAUGGUAAUUAGAGGUACUGGUUUGAGAUUGAAUCUAGAUUAAAGUUUCACUAAUCUCAAACCUAUGUCAAAAACUAUAAAUAUAGGUUAAAGGUAAAAGAUAGAUGGUCAUAUUUAAUGUACAUUUAUUACCAUUACACUGAACUCCUAUAUGGACAAUUUACUAACUUUAGUAUUGGAGAACCUUUGACAUGUACUUUCUAAAUGGUGGAGUAACGGUGGAGUAAAGACGAAGACUUGACUUGGUUACCAACAACAUUUCAAAAAAAUUGGAGAAGUGUUGGAAGUGGCAAAAUAAUCAUUGUUAAAUAUACACUUUGCACCAGUUUAAAUACAAAUACAAAAUUAAUGACGUGUUAAAAACAGAGAAUACAACAUAGGAUUGAUAAAUUCUUAUAUAAACUUUUUGGAAUACAGUAAUGAGAAACAGAACUUCAAUGUGAAUGAGCCUCUUAGAAAGUGAAACUCUUAAUUGUGAAAGAAAUUGAAAAGUAAGAAAGAAAUUUCAACAAACAGGGUGAAUGGCAAACCAAGCUUGGAUGAAAGUGAGAACUAGAGCAAGAAGUGCAGCAAAGAAAGCAAUGAUUGACCAAGGGUUGCUGAAAUAUGUAUGAUAACCAAGAGCAAGCCAUGCCCUGUAUCUCUUCCUGUAAUGCUUUUCAAUUUUCCGUCUAACACCUAAAUAGCUCUCACUGUUAGGCACCAAGUCAGCGCUUAUGGUGUUGAAGAGCUUCGCCACUUCCUCAUCACUCCCAAGUUCAUUGCGCAGAACCUUCGCUGAUCUCAGCUCCUUCACAUCCUCAGGGUGGUCGAUCAGCGAGUCCAUGAAAGCCACAAAGGAACUAAUCUCGAAGUUGUUCUGAAAAUCUGGACACAUCUCAUACGCUAUCAGGUUGUGAAAAGUAGGAGCUGUUGUGUCAUCAACUGUGAUCUCUGGCAGUGUCAGUUCAGCACGCAACCACAUCCAGCGAUAANAGAAGGAGAUGUCACUCAGCUUCCGUGACUUUUUCACCUUCAGUUUAAUCCCUGCAGCUCUCAGCUCCUCUAUGUUCCUGUAUGUCAUCAUGUCCAAAUCAUCAUCUUUUUUCUUGUCCCUUUCCCCGUUUUCUGCGUCACCUUUCUUAUGUUGGGCUUCCUUUUUAGCGUCACCGACGAUGUACCUGCGAAGCUGAUCGAGAAGAUGAAAAGGUGACUCCUUUCUUAUGUCUAUUCUGUGUUCUUGACAAAGGGAGUCUUCAUUCCUAACAUAAACACUUGGGUCCCCAUCUUCAUCCGAUACUCUGAAAAAAAAAGAUACAGUAUUUGAAAUACAAACUACGAGGGACUUGAGACUGAAAGUUAGUAUUUAUACCUGUCUUCGUUUUUCUUAAACUUGGUCGUGCCAUGAAUUUUUUCUCUUUGCUUUGGUGACAAAUGAUGGCACUUAAGAAACUUGUUCAUGCUGUUUAUCAGUGUGUCAUCAUUCUGGUGGCCUGACAAGAGUUUAAGCACUUCAUAGGGAAGCUGAUUCUCUAGCAAAAGCACAUCCUGCCACACAAGAACCAGUUGGUCAACCUUAACAUUCAAGUCUUCGGGACGACUGAGGUUUCCCUUGUCCAGGAUUUGAAGCAGAGAACAUCCGUCCACAAAUAGCAUCCGCGAGAGCUUUUCAUCAUCACCACCGAAGUCUCUGAUAACAUCCUCAGCAUACCGUUCUUUCAAUUGGUUGACGUGUAUUGCAAACUUUUCAUACAGAGUUUCAGCAUCUUGCUGGGUGCUUUCAAGGUACUUUGCUGCCCACAUAAGCUUGUAUUUUUCCCCCAGUUUCAGAUUCGGUUCUCCAUGAUGGAUUGGACCAAUAGAAAUCAACCUGGGGGAGUAAUGCUUCUUCGAAUGCUUUCGAUCUCGGAGAUAAUGUGCUACCUUUUGUAUCUUUGGAACUGUAUUUUGUGGUGUCUCCUUUGCCUUUUUUAGUUCAUGAAAGUUCUGGUUGAGGUAUGGUGUCUCACUCAUGUUAACUGUGCAAUAAUGCUAUAUUUUCAAGGAUUGGUUUGGUGGGUAUAUUUGUGAGUGUUCUAGACAAGUGAAGUUGUUCAUGUUAUUGCAGUUUAAAUUGUAAAAAAUUUACGAGUAAACGAAUCAUAUGAUACACGGAGACCAUUCAUGUAUUAAAUAAGUUACUUAUUUUAAUAUGCUGAUAAAUUUAUUUUAAAAAUAAUAAGAUAUUAUUAUACAUUAUACAUAUACAUGUUGAAAAGUUUGUAAAAAUUCUAAAUAAUAUGAUAAAUAUUGAAUUGUUGUUGUGUGAAUCUAAAUUAAAAUCAUAUAUACAUAAAGAUAGUACUUGAUGCUUUUGUGGAUAUGAUUCUUGGGGUGAAGAAGGAGACAUAGUACUUUAUGCUUUUAGCUUUGUGAAUGUUUGAAGUUUGGAAUGGAUAGUGAGAAAUAGCGUUGAAAAGGGCAUGUAGAAGUGGAUUCAUUGUGCUUUGCUAGUAUUUCAAGUAUGAAUAGAUUCCUGCUGAUAAUUGUUGGUAGGUAAGUAGAAUCACGUUUUUCAUUCAU
RNAcentral lists this long non-coding RNA (83599 nucleotides) under Vigna radiata. RNAcentral describes it as "long non-coding RNA (VRAD_LNC006409)". Lineage: Eukaryota; Viridiplantae; Streptophyta; Magnoliopsida; Fabales; Fabaceae. The record is from RNAcentral.